UGUUUUAUCUUCAAUACAUGACAAAGAAAACAAUCCAAGAACCACAAAUGCAGGAACAAGUACAAAAAGCCUUAUGAAACCCAGACGUAUGUCUGUUGCAGUCAGACCUCCUCCUCCAAUUUCAGCACAGGUUUUUCAGCCUAAGAGACGGGUCUCCAUUGCUACCUAUCGUUUAGAGCCAACCUCAAACAUGACACCUCUUCAAACCUCGCAAUAUAAAAAUGGGAAUGUAGUUGGCAGGCAGUCAUUUGUCAGGGACCCAAGAAAGCCAAGGAAUUCAAAGCUGUUCUCUCCGUUGCCAGAGUUCAGGACUGCAUCGGAGACCACACCUACUGUUAUGAGAACCAGUAGUAAAUUCAUGGGGAGUCCUCCACCACAAGCAGGUUCUUGGAAGCCAAAGCACCCAACUGCUGUUGCACUGCAACGAAAAUCUCUGGUGUGGAGCCCGCUAAAGUUAAGGAGCUAAUGAGGUGCAAUAAAACUUAGUCUUCAUUUUCAUGAUAAAUAGUUGGAGUAUACUUUUUUUUUCUUGAUUCCCCUCUUCCCAUUUUUCUUACAUGAAUUUUAUCAUUUCUCCUCUGGAUAUUAAUCGCAAUUGUAUGCUACUUGCCUACUCAUUCGCUGUUGUAUGUUAUUUGCUUUCCUACAUGAGUCAACAACUCCAUUCAACAGUGAGAAACACAGAAAAAAAAACACACAUAGGAGUUUUUCGAUGCUUUAACUCAUCUUGGCUAGUGGGACAUCCUGCUUUUUGACUCAUUUAUACACCUGUGUUUAACACAAGAUAGAGCUCUACAUCAACAAUUGAUAGAUACACUUCCUCUCCAGUCUCAUCAAUUAUUUAAGAUAAGAGAAUGAUUGCUAUUAUCGACCAUCUUCCUCUCCAGUCUCUGUCUCAACUAAAAAUAGUUUAAGCAAAAGUCAUGUUAAUUCCCAGUAAUCCAAUCAACUGCUUUCGAGUUCUCCUAAUAAUUUAAGAUACACUUUAAAUUUAAUUGAUAUUAUUGUUUUAAGUAUCAACAAUUAUUGUUUUUUAUCUGUUCGUAAACAAUAACAUAACAAAGGCUAGAGUGUGAGUGGAUGUAUCGCAACCUGUCAAUAACUUCAAGCCACAAAAUCUUAAUUUAAACCAAAACGCAACAUCUUGCAUGAUUUAAGAUUCAAUCGUAAAAAGGACAUGUUACUAAUGAGAUUAAGUAUCUAUUUGUUUUUGUAUUUUAAAAGUAUUUAAAAAAAAAUUAUUUUUUUAUUAAUUUCAAAUUAAUAUAUUUUUAGUAUUUUUAAAUUAUUUUGAUAUACUAAUAUUAAAAAUUAUUUAAAAAACAAUUAUUAGUAUAUAUUUUAACCUAAAAAAUUAUUUUAAGCACACUUUUAAUGUCAAUGUUAUUAAAGGACACGUACAAUUAAAGCUCAUUUUCAAGCUCACGAUAUACUUUUUGAGAGUUAGCUAGCCACGAGUGUGACCUACCAGCUAGAUGGCCAUACUCCUUGACGUGCCUAAUCAGUCAUAAAUAAUGUAGUUUUUAAUUGAAAAAUGAUAAAUAAUAAGGAAAAUUUGAAAAUAAAAUAAAAAGUAAAUAAAAAUUUAAAAUAAUUUAAAUUAUGUGAUCAAUUCAUAAGAAAAAAAAGAAAAUAGUGUUUAUGUAAAUAAUAUAAAACAAUAAUAGAUCUUUAAAUGAACUAAAUAAUAAAGAGGUAAAGUAAAUAUGUUUUGAAAUAAAAAUAUAAUCCUAAAAAUUUAGUAGAAUAAUACGAUUUAUGCAAGGAUAAUACAAAAAAAACUUAGAUGUUGAUAUAAAAUUAUUUAUAAAUUAGUUUUAUUCUAUGAAACAUAACUUUUAAUUUAAUUAUUAAAUAAAAAUAAAUUUUUUUAAAAAAUCUUCUAACAUAUUAUUUUAUUAUAAGUUAAAAUUUUAAAUCAAGUUCAGAAAAAUUGUACAAGAAUGUCAGCAGCAUUCGGACAAAAAAAUAGCAUGUAAACUUAUUAAUGGUAUUUUUGUAAAUAAACUAGAUGAGCUGGAAAUUUCAGUUUCUUCUUCUCCUGGGCAAUCCCUACAGAAGACAUUGUCCUUUUUUGUAUUGUGCUUCUAACAUGUCUUGAGAAAUGGGUUAUUCUCCAUCAUUAAUUACUACUAUCUCUUAUAUCAAACACUUUUUCAUGAUCCCCCUCUCAAAGAAGUAGCUCCUCCUUACUAGAAAAUUAAUUGUGAAUUUUGAACAUUAUCGGCUAUGUAUGGAUGUAUAUAGUGAGUUUUUUUUUUAUUAUUCUUUUUAAAUGCAUUUGUUUUUUCAUUUUCAUCCAUUAAUAUUAGAUUAAUUAAGAAUUAGAUUUCAUAAUUUAUUUCGGUUUGUUUUCUAUAAAAAUAGCCCGACUUCAUAACUCGAGUCACAGGUUUGAUUGGAUAGCUCAGGUUAAAUCAAGUGGCUUUUUCAUGUAUUUUGUUAAUUGUUUUUUUUUACAAUUUUUUUUUAAUUUUAGGUUGAUUGGAAAUUGAGUUUUCAAUAUUAGACAAUUAUCUAGUAUUAACUUUAAACUAAAAGAGGAGAGGUUUUUAUUGUACCCUUCGCCACUAAGCACUAUUCAUUGGAAUAAUGAUUUGCUUAUUUUUUUCUAUACUUUUUUUUUUCGAUCAAUGUUUUUUUUUUUAAUUUCAUCAUUUAAUAUUAGAUUAUUAUUUUUAUUGAGUUAUUUCACUUUCAUGAUACAGAUUGCUGGUCUAGCGGGUUAACCCGGUUACCUCAAUUUUUUGCUUUAAUUUCAUCAUUUAAUAUUGGAUUGAUCUGAAAUUAGAUAUUAUGAUUUGUUUUGUUAACUUUCUAUUGUGUUAUUUUAGUCUCAUGGCCGGAGAAUCGUGCUUAAUGAGUUAACCCGAGUUGACUCAAAUAGUUUUUUAUGUUUUUUUUAUUGUUUUUUUUUCAAUUUUAUCUUUCAACACUAAGUCAGUUGGAAAUUGAUUUUUUUAUAUAUAUAUAUAUAUAUAUAAUUAUUUACUUUCUAUAGAGAUAUCAAGGUUGCAAGUUUUGGUAUUUUAACACUGGUGAAAUCGAGUCAUUUUUAUUUUCUUUUUAGAAGGUUAUCUUGGUCUCAUGACUCGGGUCACAGAUCCUUCAAUAUUGAAUUUGCUUUUUAUUGGUUUGUCCUCAUCUCAUGACUUGAGUUGUUGGUUUGGCAGGUUAACUUAAUUGACUUAGUUUGUUUGGCAGGCUUUACGAUUUAUUUUGGUUUGUUUUUUAUUAGGUUAUCUCAAUCUCAUGACCCGGGAAUAGUGUUUAACAACUUCAUCCAAGUUGACUUAACUUAUUUUUAUAUCAUUUUUUAAUUAUUUUUUUUAUAAACUUCAUCGUUCAACAUUGAGUCUGACAAGAGUGAUUGAUAAUUGAACUUCAUAAUUUAUUUUGAUUUGCUCUUUAUGAGGUUAUCUAAGUCUUAUGAUUAAAGUCAUGGAUUUGGCAAGUUAAUCUAAAUUAAGUGAAGUUGUUUUUUUUUUUUUUUAUGUUCUUUUUAUUAUGUUAUCUCAAUCUGAUGUCCCAGGUUAUUGGUUUUGUUGAUUGUCUCGUGUUGUUUUUUAUCUUGAUUUUUUAAUCUCAUCUUUCAACAUUAUAUUAAUUGGUAAUUGAAAUCUGUAAUUUAUUUAGAUUUAUUUUUCAUUGCGUUAUCUCGGUCUUAUGAUCCGGGUCGCGAGUUUGACAGGUUAAUCCGGAUAUUGUUUUUAGGUCUUUUUUUAAUUAAUUUUUUUUCAAUUUCAUCUUUUAAUAUUGAAUGAAUUAGAAGUUAAACUUCAUAAUUUACUUUGAUUUUCUUUCCACUAGGUUGUGGUUUACUUCUUAUGUCUUAUCAUUAACUUGUUCGAUCUUGCAUUGAUUCUGCAGUGUCUUGGAGGUGCCUUACGAUUGUGCAGCUGAGGCAGACUUGCUGUAUUCCCUAAUCGUUAAAGCUAGGUUCUAGAACAAUCGAUUCCAGAAGCCAACGAAGCAACCAAAGAUUUCAAGCAAACAUGUCGAUUGGUUUUGAUAUUGAAACACCCAUUACAUUCGUAUUGACAUUUUCACUUUCAGAUUUUGUGUUCUGCUCAGGACUCAAAACUCAACACUAAAUAUGAAGGAUUUGUAUGGUAUAUUUGGAGUUCAGGCAUGUCAAAGUUCCAUGUUUUUGUUCUUUUGGGGAUGUAUGGUUUGUACUCGUAUUAACUUUAUGUUCAUUGUGAAUGAAACCAAAGUACAGUAUAAAAACUCUAUUUUCAUGACUAUGGUAAGUAUCUUCUGUCCAAAGGAAGGUGUCAUGGCAUGUAUAUUUCAAAUUACCUGUCGAGGUUCAGACAGUUAAAAUCUUAUGCAUCUGCAUUUCUACACUGGAAAUUAUCACUCUAAGUUCUAAAGUCUAAUUUCCACUGAUAUAGACCUAUAUCAAACAGGUGGGAAAAGAGGAUUAAGGAGUAAUGUAUCCUUUAAGUUCUCUGAAUGAUGUGUCCCCUACUUCCUUGAGUGACAUGAAGGAUUUGUAUGCUAUCUUUGCAGUUGAAUAUGUCAAAAACUAUGGUGAGAAACUUCUGUCAGAAGAAGGCUGUCAUGUAUCUUGUGAAUCUGCAUUUCUACACUGGAAAUUAUUUACUCUUAAGAUCAAAAGUCUAAUAUGAAAUGGAAAUAAUAAAUUGUGGACCACUGGUGGGAAAAGAGGAUUGGGGAGUGAAGACCAUGGAAUACUUAUCUAGAUUACUGUGGAAGUAAAGUGAUGUGGUUGUCAAUGACAAUGGACAAAGUAUGACAGCUUCACCUAAUUAUCAUCGCCAAGAAGGUAGGAAAAAAGCAUCCACUUGCAAGAAUUUAAUGGCUGUGCCAGUGUUCUGUCUCAUCUUUUUUCUCAUGCCAGGAGCAUCGGCAUUUGUUUGCAAUUUUACUGAUUGUGAAGCUCUUCUCAAAUUCAAGGCAGGCAUAACAAGUGAUCCGGAAGGAUACGUCAAGGAUUGGAAUGAAGCCAAUCCUUUCUGUAACUGGACCGGAGUUACAUGCCACCAAUCUCUCCAAAACCGGGUUAUAGAUCUUGAGAUUACAGACAUGCGCUUAGAAGGAAGUAUAUCGCCAUUUCUAUCCAAUCUCUCUCUUCUCACCAAGCUUUCCUUUCAGGGUAAUAAUUUCCGUGAAGAAAUCCCAACUACCUUGGGAGCACUCUCACAGUUAGAAUAUCUGAAUAUAAGUGAAAAUAAGCUCUCUGGUGCCUUGCCAGCUUCACUACAAGGCUGUCAAAGCUUGAAAUUUCUAGACUUGUCUGUUAACAACCUAUCUGGGGUCAUUCCUGAAGAACUAGGAUGGAUGAAGAAGCUGAGUUUCUUAGCUCUCUCUGUAAACAACCUCACUGGGGUCAUUCCGGCCUUUUUGUCAAACCUGACAGAAUUGACACAGCUACAACUGGCUGUGAACUACUUUACUGAGCAAAUCCCUGUGGAGCUUGGAGUUUUGAGCAGGCUUGAGAUUUUGUAUUUGCACACGAACUUUCUUGAGGGAACAAUACCUGAAUCACUAAGUAAUUGCACUGCAUUGAUUGAGAAUCGAUUAUCCGGGGAAAUCCCUUCAGAGAUGGGGAACAAGCUCCAAAACUUGCAGAAGUUGUAUUUUAUGGACAACAAUAUUUCUGGUAGGAUUCCGGUGACAUUAUCAAAUCUUUCACAGAUAACACUGCUUGAUUUGAGUAUCAAUUACUUGGAGGGUGAAGUUCCCGAGGAACUGGGGAAGUUGAAGAACCUUGAGAUUCUUUACCUCCAUAGCAACAACCUGGUUAGCAAUUCUUCUCUCAGUUUUCUUACUGCUCUCACAAACUGUUCAUUUAUGAAGAAACUGCACUUGGGCUCCUGUUUAUUUUCUGGGAGUUUACCUGCUUCCAUCGGAAAUCUUUCGAAAGACCUCUACUAUUUCAAUCUUUUGAAUAACCGUAUAAGAGGAGAGAUUCCAGGUAGUAUUGGAAACUUGAGUGGCCUCGUGACCCUACAACUGUGGUACAAUCACUUGGACGGGACAAUUCCAGCAACUUUUGGAAAGCUGAAGCUGUUGCAAAGACUAUAUUUGGGGAGAAACAAGCUACAAGGUUCCAUUCCAGAUGAAAUGGGGCAGAUGGAAAACCUUGGCUUACUUGAUCUUGCCAAUAAUUCCAUAACCGGGUCAAUCCCUUGUUCACUUGGUAACCUCUCACAGUUGAGAUACCUUUACCUAUCUCAGAACAGCUUAUCAGGAAAUAUUCCCAUCAAACUCAGCCAGUGCAUGCUCUCUCAUGAUGCAGCUGGAUUUAUCUUUUAACAGCUUGCAGGGGCCUCUUCCACCAGAAAUUGGAGUUUUUGCUAACUUGGGGCUCUCCCUCAACCUUUCAAAUAACAAUCUAGACGGGGAAAUACCUGCAACUAUUGGAAAUCUGGUAUCUGUACAAGCUAUUGACUUAUCGGUGAACAGAUUUUCUGGCAUUAUACCAAGUUCAGUUGGAAGUUGUGGUCAAAAAUCAAAAGGGCACACAGCAAGUCAAGCGUCCUGUAAUGCUUUAACUCUUUUUGGCCAGUGGGAUUUGCUACUUUUUAACUUAGCGGUGAGGAAAAGUUGCUAGUCUAAGUAAAGAAAAAGGAAAAGAAGAUAGAUGACUAAUCUUUUGGAAUUGAGGUUGAUUUUUGUUAAUUUUUGUUAAAAUUUGGAUUUGUUUAGUGUUGUUAAAAUUUAGAUUUGUUUAGUGUUUUUGAAUUAUGUCAAAAUAAUUUUUAAAAAAUAUAUAUUAUAUUAAUAUAUUUUUAAAUAAACACUUUAAAAACCAAACUUUAAAUGAUUCCGGAAUUUCCGUGGGGCUUCCUUAAUGGGUUGUGAAAAUCUUUUUUGAAGAAAGGUUUAUGAGAUAUUGUGUUGUUAAGGACUGGUUCUGAAUUUGUACCUACCGAUAUAUAGAUUCCAAGAAACCCUCCAAUACUGUGUUUGAAAUAAAGAUGAUGAGAGGAUCAAUGUGAACUCCCCCUUAAUUGUGAGUUGGCUAGCCCUUAUAUAACUGGUAGAAUUUCUUCCUGUUCGUUCUUUGCUAUAGCAUCGUUUAAAUUGUUUUGAUCUUCUCUUAUUGUCUGAUUUUUUCCAGUUGGUGUUUUUUAACGAAUAUUCAUCGACAUGGCUUUUAAUUACUAGUUACAUUUUACUGAUCAUUAUAAUCGUUUGUUUUCUUGUUGCUUGUUACAGGGUGUUGUUAUCUAUUUUUUGGGUUUUCACAAAACAAAAUGAGAAAAUACAAAAAAAAUAUAUAAAAAAAUAUUCAGAAAAAAUUCAAAAAAUAAUAAGAGCGAGAAAAAGAUAUUGAAAUACCAAGAAAGGCCAAAAUUGGUUAAGGAGGUUUAAAAAAAUACAAAAAAUUAAAAUUUAACAGUAUAUUUUUGACUUAUGAAAGCCCUGUUGACAAAGAAAAUUUAAGUUGAGGAAGAAAAGUCCAAAAUCAAAUGUUUAUGGACUCAAUUAAAUUUUAUCUAAGAUUUAAUUGAAUUUAUGGAGGGUUGGAUUGUAAGAAAAUUAAUUUUUAAGUUAUUUUAGGUUUUUAUUAGAAGAAAUUAAAGUUAUGGGGUGCAAUUAUAAUUGUGAAGAAUUGAUUUGAUCAAAUCAGGGGCUUAAUUGCAUACUUAUUGAAGUUUGAUAGCCAAUUAGGAAUUUAAUUGAAAUAAUCCAAAACCAAGGACCAAAUUGGAAAAGUCACUAAAAUAAAAGGAUCCAAUUACAACAUUUCCAGGGGGGCUUGAUUACAAAAAUGUAAAAACAUCCAAGGACCAAAUCAGAAAUAUCAUUUAAAGUUGCAAAAUGGUGCCGUUUCAAGGCACUAUUCAUUGCCUUCUCCACCGAUUUAGCAUACAGGAACCGUUUCAGCAACAAAUGCUGCAGAUCAUGGGAAACGUUUCACAGCUACUAUUUCUCUACCGUUACCGCUGUAAUAAUGGGGCUGAACGUCUUCAUCAUAAAGAAAAAUGCAUGCAGUUUUGGCUAUAAAAAGAGAUGGGGGGCAACGAGACACGGAGGGGGGAAAAAGAGGAGGAGACAGAGAGAGGAGAGAGGGCAGAGAAGAGAGGCUACAGUGAAGAAAAAAAGAGGAGUGUGACAGCUGAGAAGAACGUAAGAAAAGUGAGAGAGUGGAGAAAUAGUGAGCAAGCAUAAGGGAGAGAAGAGGAAUGAGAGAAAGAGGCAAACCGGACGGAAGUAGAGGACACGGUGAAGCAGAGAACACAGCACCACCAUCGUCUUCGUCUUCUCAAAACCAGGUAUGUUCGAUGCCCUUCUCCGUUUCCCUGCAAAAAUGAGAUGAUGCAUGUUAUUAUGUAAAAUACAGAAAGAAAACACAAGGAAACCGACACCAGAAAUCACCAGUUGCAAUACUCUGUUUUGUUUUUUUUUCAUUCUCGCACUGCAACAAAGAUGAUUAACAGAGCGAAGGUAAUUUAAUUACCUUCGCCCUGUUCAUGCACGAUUAAAUAUAUUAUGGUGUCAUUAGAUACAAAUACGCCUUGUAGUCUAGGUGGUAAGCUUACUUGGCUUUCAUCAAGGGAAUUCUUUUUGAAGGUGGUCACUGGCAUGGGCCAGUGACCACGCUAGGCUGGCUAAAUCCAGCCCAGCUACGCAGGUUGGCUGGGUCCAGCCCAGCCACAUGGGCCGGGUUGGGCCCAGCCCGAAAAAUUAAAAAAUUUGAAAAAAUUCUUUUUUAAAAUUUUUUGAUUUUCCGCAAGUAUUUUACUGCAUUUUGAUCAAUAUUGGUUUGUAUUUUUAUAUUGUAACGAUACAAAUCCGGUAUUAAAUACCUGGUUUUCAUCAAAAAAAAAAAAAUGUUUUGUUUUCAUGUAUACAGCCAAGUCUCUCAAAAAUAAAUCAUAUUAUAUUUUCAUAUAUAUAUAUAUAUAUAUAAAUAAAAAUUCAAAAAUAUGUAUUAGCAUGCAUUUUGGUUAUAAUAAUUAGUUUAUUCAAGUCAUGAGAACUAGGCCAAUAUUUCAAAAAAAAAUAUUUUGUUUUCUCUUAAUAUCUGGGUUUACAACCUUAUACGUAAGACGUAUCCCGGAUAUUAAAAUUCUUUUGUUGACGCCAAAAUUACUCGAUAAGAUAAGGAUCUUCUUACCGAGGAUGACUCUUCUUAAACCAUAGACGGACCAACAACUAGAAAACACGACUCGACCUUAGAUUUUAUCAAACAAUAAAACAAUACAACUUACCUUAGGUAGGGCGUAUUUGAGGUACUAAUACCUUCAUUUUACGCAACCAGUCUCCGUACCUGAUCUCUGAAACCAGUUAGGAUUCCUAGUGAUCAAAAUACUAGGUGGCGACUCUCAUUCUAUUUUUCCACUAAUAAAAGACAAGAAUUUCUUGUCUUCACACAUUUGCUACAUGAGAUAAUAUUUUGAGAGUGCAUGUUUUCACCGCGACGCCGCACAUGUGCGACACAAGGAAUAAUUAUCACGGGUAUAAAGCUUACUUCUACAUAUAUCAAGCAUAUAAAAAUAUGGCUCCCACUCCUGAUCCAUAUUUGAAGCUCGAUGUGUUCCUCAGUACUUUUAGAGGCACCGAUACCCGCAAUAGUUUCACCAGUCAUCUUUAUGAUGCUUUGCAGCGAAGCCAAAUUGAUGCUUACAUCGAUAAUAAACUUGAUGGAGGAGAAAAGAUCGAGCCUACCCUCUAUCGGACAUCAUUGGUGAGUUGAUAUCUCUUUAAGAUCUUUAUCUUUAUUCUUGCUCAAAAUUAGUUAGUCUUCCAAACAGUUUUCGCGAGUUGAAAUCUCUUGCUAAACUUAAUGUUAUUCGUUGCUCAAAACUAGUAAGUUUAUCGGACAAUAUUGGUGAGUUGAAAUCUCUUGUAGAGCUUAAACUUUUUCGUACUCAAAACUAGAAAGUCUUCCAAAUAGUAUUGGCGGGUUGAAAUGUCAUGCAGAGCUUUGUCUUUCUAAUUUUUCAAAGCUAAUAAGUUUACCAUACAGUAUUGGCAAGUUGAAAUGUCUUGUGAAGCUUGAUCUCAGUUAUUUCUCAAAACUUGCAAGUCUAUCGGACUGCUUGGGCGAGCUGAAAUCUCUUGUAUUGCUUCAUAUUUCUUUUUGCCCAAAACUAGCAUGUCUUCCAAACAGUAUUGGUCAGUUGAAAUGUCUCGCAGAGCUUAAUCUUAGUGGAUGCUCAGAACUCUAGCAAAUCUUCCAAACAGUAUCUAUUAUCUGGAAUCUCUUAAAUGGCUUAAGCUAGAACGUUGCUAUAUGCUGAAUAAAUCCCCAGUACUGAACCCGAGGUGUUCAGAAGUAGAAGAAAUAGCAUUUGGUGGAUGUCUCCAAUAUUUGAAUUUGGGGGCCUCUGGCGUGUCAGAAAUUCCCGGUAGCAUAGGCUCUUUGGUGUCACUGAGAGAUUUGAGAUUAUCUUGUAAUGAUUUUGAGAGGAUACCUGCAAACAUCAAGCAACUUCCCAUGCUAAUUAAACUCGAUUUGCAUGGUUGUGAGAGGCUUCAACAUUUACCAGAGCUUCCAUCGAGUCUACAGGUUUUAAUCGCGUCAUAUUGCAUCUCUCUAAGAUCAUUAGCAAGUAUAUUCAUACAAGGUGAGAAAGGGUAUGUAGCUGCUUCUCAGCAAUUCAGUUUCUCUAAUUGUCUCAAAUUGGAUCAGAAUGCAUGCACUCGAAUUAUGGAAGAUGCCCAUUUAAGAAUUCGACGCAUGGCAUCAUCAUUGUUUAAUCGGGUGAAUUCUUCUUCCCUCGAUCUUGCUUUAAAAAAAAACCAUGAUAAUUUUGUAAAUGUAUCUCACAUUCUCACUCUCUUCGGUGCAGGAAUAUUUUGGUAAGCCAAUUAGAGUUAGGCUGUGUAUUCCUGGGUUGGAAGUCCCGGAGUGGUUCUGUUAUAAAAAUACAGAAGGACCUUCAUUAAAUAUUCCGGCUCAUUGGCACCGUACUGCUAACACUGAUCAGUUCUUGGGUUUCACCUUCUGCGCUGUUGUUUCAUUUGGCCACAGUAAGAAAAAGCGUCCCGUUAAUAUUAGAUGUGAAUGCCAUUUGAUAACCCAAGGUGGAAACCAGAGUGAUCUCAAUUUCUACUGCUAUGAAGAAGUUGAAAGAAAGGAGCGGAGUUUAUGGGAAAGGGAUCAUGUUUUCAUCUGGAGUAUCAACUCUAACUGCUUUUUCAAGGAGGCCUCGUUUCAUUUCAAACCACUGUGGGGAACUGAUGAUGUGGUGGUUAAGUGUGGAGUCCAUCCACUGUUUGUCCAAUACUGUUGAUGAAUCCUCUGUUAUUCAAAGAAUGUGUAUGGUGUCCAUGUUCAUGUGUUCAAAGAGCCCCCCUGCCUUCACUUAUGCUUCUUCGGCUGGAACUGUACAGGCGACGUCUCCAGGUUUGUCUACUAUCCAGUGAUCGGAUUUUUGAGUGUCUUUGGUCUCUGCGAGCUAGCCUUUAAAAAAAAAUGCAGCAAGGCAAAUAGAUGAUGCAUAAAGUUUUAAUGGUGUCUUACAGGCUCUUUGAAUUGAUUUAACAAGCAAAAAAAGCCACAGCUGUGGUUUACUUCUUAUGUCUUAUCGUUAAUCCGUUCUUGCAUUGAUUCUGCAGUGUCUUGGAGGUGCCUUACGAUUUUUCAGCCGAGGUAGACUUGCUGUAUUCACUUAUCGUUAAAGCAAUCGAUUCCAGAAGUCAAGGAAGCAACCAGAGACUUCAAGCAUACAUGUUGAUUGGUUUUGAUAUUGAAACACCCAGUACAUUCGUAUUGACAUUUUCACUUUCAGAUUCUGUGCUCUGCUCAGGACUCAAAACUCAACACUAAAGUUCAAUAUGUGAGAUUUUCUGAUAUUAUUCAAUUGUACAUCUCACAACUCCUUGAAUAAUGUAUCGUUUAAGUUCUCUGAAUGAUGUGUCCCCUACUUCCUUGAGUGACAUGAAGGAUUUGUAUGGUAUAUUUGCAGUUUAGGCAUGUCAAAGUUCCAUGUUUUUGUUCUUUUGGGGAUAUUGUAUGGUUUGUACUCCUCUUAUUGACUAUAUGUUCAUUGUGAAUGAAACCAAAGUUGAGUAUAAAAACUCUAUUUUCAUGACUAUGGUAAGAAACUUCUGUCCAAAGAAAGGUGUCAUGUCAUGUAUAUUUCAAAUUACCUGUCAAGGUUCAGACAGUUAAGAUCUUAUGCAUGUGCAUUUCUACACUGGAAAUUAUCACCUAAAGUCUAAUUUCUACUGAUAUAGACCUCUAUCAAACAGGUGGGAAAAGAGGAUUGAGGAGUGGUGUAUCAGACUUCAUUAUUAUUAUUGCUUGAUGACUCGUAUUCAGAUCAUUAAUUACUCACUGUGGCCCUCAACUCAGGUUUCUGACAUGUAUAGUUCACAGAGUGAAGACUUAUCUAGAUUACUGUGCAAGAAAAAUGAUGUGGUUGUCAAUGACAAUGGACAAAGUGUGAUAGCUUCAUAUAUUAAGAGAAAAGUAGUAAAUUCUUCAGUGGAAACUUUAAUCAUGAUCUAGCAAGGGUUGUCUGGAAAAGGAUUCCGGAAGACCACCAGUAUCCACAAGGAAAUCACCAGGAAAUCACUGCUUGGCUGUGUUCAAAAAAGCAAAAAGGCACACAGCGAGUCAAGCAUCCGCGUACACGACGCUUUAACUCGUUUUGGCCGGUGGGACAUCCUACUUUUUGACUAAAUUACACACCCAGCUAGCGUUUAACACAAGAUAGAGCUCUCAUCAAUAAUUGAUAGGAAAUUGGCUACUUUCUCAUCAAUAAUUGAUGAGAAAAUGAUUGCUAUUAUCUACACACAAAUAAUAAUUAGCACGCUGUUAAGCCAUAAACAUUCCUUCCUGGAAACCGACCUCAACUUUUCCUCACCGACAAAGUAAAGAAAAAGGAAAAGAAGAUUGAUGAAGAAUGGAGGUUGAACAUGUUUUUUUUUGUUGUUAAAAUUUAUAUAUUUUUUAAUAUUUUUUAAUUAUUUUUAUUUAUUUAUAUCAAAAAUAAAUUUUAAAAAAUAAAAAAUAUAUUAUUUUAAUAUAUUUUUAAAUAAACACUUUAAAAAUCAAGCUUUAAAUGAUUCCGUUGACUUAAUAAUUAAUGAUCGAGGCCCGGAUUCAAUAACUAUGAUAAUUAAACAUAUUUUCUCAUUUUUUGUUCUAAAUUUCUAUUAACAUUAUCAGGUGUUUAUGAUUUUAGACAAGGAAGUGAACUUAGCUCAACUAGAUGAAAUAGAUAGUGAAAUAGAGAGAUUAUUGUAGAGUUUAAUCUUACAACAAGGGACUUAUUAGUUAUUAUAAACAGUACAAUGUUAUGUCCAUGUAAAAAUUAUUUCUUCGUGUUAGGAAGAAAUAUUAGUCUAUGCUCAUAUGGACUUAUCUUCAAUGACAAGUAAAGGAAAAGAAAAAGAAGAUAUCUGACAACUGCUGUCCUCUUUUCCUUUCGGUUUUCUCGGGCCAGCCCUCUUCUCUUUUAUCCUUUCUUUUUCUUCCUCAACGUCUCUUCCAUGGCACAUUAAGGAAACAAGAGAAAGAAGACGAUAUAUCCUCGUUGAGGCACACAGAGGGUUAAAGAUCAACAAGCUGCCCUUGAUUAAUAACUGGUACAACUUUCUUCCUAUUCUUCCAUUAAUUUCUCUCUGUUUUGGGUUAGAUUCCACUUGUUUGGCCAUGGCCGUAGCAUCAUUCAUGUUGUUUAUAAAUGUUAGUGAGUUUUCCCUUUUAGCUCAAAAUGACUCUGUAAUUAAUUAAGAUCUCAGCUAGUUUCUCACUGGCUCCUCUCUUUAUAUCUUUCAUUGCUCUUCUUUGCUGGGCUCAUAUGUAAUGUUUGGCGCUUGCUCUGCACAAGUUCUAUUUUAAUUUCAUCCUUUAAUAUUGAAUUAAUUGAAGAUUAAAAUUUAUAAUUUAUUUUUAUUUAUUUUCCAGGCGGUUAUUUUGAUUUUAACUCAAGUAGGGUUUUUAAAUCUUUUUUAAUUGAUUUUUUUUUAAUUUACUACAACAUUUAGUAGUUUUACCAACAAAAUUUUUCUGUUAUUAGAGUAAAAUUACUACUAUAUCAGUGGAAAUUUUACCAACUAAUUCACCAAUGGAAUGCUUCUGUUGGUAUACCAUUAGUCGGUAAUUCCACUACUUGUCGCUAAUUUUAUCGAGAAAAAAAAAUUAAAAAACAAUGAUUUUACAAACAUUUAGGAUCUUUCAUUCAAGCAGAAAAAGAACACAAUUCUAUUUUGGAUUUAAUAAAAAAGGAAAAUUUAAUCUUAGUGAUCCAAUUAAAAUCCGUGACUCAAACCUUGAUUCAGUGGAAACCAUGUCGGUACUAAAAACUAUGCAUCAUAUGUGAGGAGAAAAGUAGUAAAUUCUUCAGUGGAAAAAGAUUCCGCAAGGCCACCACUAUCCUUCUACCUCGUUGCACCAUCAUCGAUAUCUUUUAGUUUUACAAUCGUGUGUGUGAAUUUUUCAAUGGGAUAAGAUGCUGUCGCUUAAAUAGGCCUCUUUUCUUUUCUUUUGUGUGUUGCGCGUCCCUUUUUUUGACGAUGGAGCUGAGCAGCACACGUGGUUCCUCUCUCUCUCUCUCUGCUAGAAAGCUUUGUGGGCUUUCUGGUCCAUUCAAAUAUAUAUGGGAAGCAAGGAACCUUCGUUCACUUCAAUGCGAAGCAAGAGCAAAAGGAGUUUCAUGAGAGGUUUUAUUUUUUCAUUUAAAAAGUAUUUUUAAAAAAUUUUAAAAUUAUUUUAUUAUUUUAUUAAUUUUAAAUUAAUAUAUUUUUAGUAUUUUUAAAUUAUUUUGAUAUACUAAUAUCAAAAAUAAUUUUAAAAAAAUAAAAUUAUUAAUAUUUAUUUUAACACAAAAAAUUAUUUAAAAAAUAACUAGAAUUACAUUGCGAAAUACUCUUUUCAUCUCAUGACACGCUUUUCUCUUAUCGCCACCAACCGGCCUGUAAUAUUCCAUAUACCCCCACUCGCCACUGGCUGCAGGCUCUCCUUUCUACAGCCCAUGAAGGCGGUGAAAAGGAAAAAAAAACAUCAAAUUACAACCUUUAAUUUUCGAAUUCUCGACAGAAUAUGACAUCGCCGCUUUUCCAACUACUUGUGCUUUGUCGAGUGGCACCGCCCCACUCUCACAAGUUCAGAAACAUGAUCAUAUUAAUAAUCUAUCUGCAAUAUAAACAAAAAUAAUGCUACAAUUUUAGAAUUUUGGAGUUGUUUCGUUAGUCAGAGAGGAAUAUAUAAUUUGGAUUUAUGAGUAUUUUUUUAAUUUAUUUUUAAAUGAAUUAAAAUUUUUUUAAUCAUGGUCUAACAAGGGUUGUCUGGAAAAAGAUUCCAGAAGACCACCAGUAUCCACAAGGAAAUCACUGCUUGGCUGUGUUCAAAAAAGCAAAAACAAUUACGGAAGACCAAGCAAAAAACUUGCUCCAGGUCGAAACCUAAGCCCGGACUAAAAACUAUGCGUCAUAUGUUAGGAGAAAAGUUGUAAAUUCUUCAGUGGAAACUUUAAUCAUGGUCUCACAAGGGUUGUCUGGAAAAAGAUUCCGGAAGACCACCACUAUCCACAAGAAAUCACUGCUUGGCUGUGUUCAAAAAUCAAAAGGGCACACAGAAAGUAAAGCAUCCGCGUACACGACGCUUUUAACUCCUUUUUGCCGAUGGGACAUCCUACUUUUUGACUAAUUUUAUACACCCAGCUAGCGUUUAACACAAGAUAGAGCUCUACAUCAAUAAUAUACCAUAAACAUUCCUUCCUGAAAACCUACCUCAACUUUUCCUCAUCGACUCAGAGCGUGUUUGUCAGCGUGGUAGCGGUUGCUUUUUAAAUAAUUUUUUAUGUUGAAAUACAUGCUAAUAAUAUUUUUUUCAUUUUUAAAAUCAGCACAUCAAAACGAUCCAAAAAGUACAAACUGAACUCAAUUUUAGUUAAAAAAAAAAUAAUUCAAAUUUGGACAAAACGCAGGUGCAAACGCAGCACCAAACACUGCUUAAGAAACCGUAUGGACAUUGUGUUUUCAAAAAUUUUAAUUUUUUUAAUUAAAAUUUAAUAUGGUUUAUAUGUUUUAAAUCGUUUUGAUGUGCUGAUGUCAAAAAUAAUUUUUUAAAAAUAAAAAUAAUCAUUAACAUAUAUUUCGGCACGAAAAGUUAUUUAAAAAACAAUCAUUAUCACACUGUAAAAGGAAAAGAUGUAGAUCAUUUUGAAUUGAGAUUGAAAUGAUUUCAGACUAUAAUUUAUUUGGCUUAAUCAUUAAUGAUCCAGGCCCGGAUUCAACAACUAUGAGGAUUCAAUAACUAUGACAAUUAAACAUAUUUUCUCACUUUUUUGUUCUAAAUUUCUAUUAACAUUAUCCAGUGUUUUUUAUUUUAGACAAGGAAGUGAACUUAGCUCAACUAGAUGAAAUAGAUAGUGAAAUAGAGAGAUUAUUGUAGAGUUUAAUGUUACAACAAGGGACUUAUUAGUUAUUAUAAACACUACAAUGUUAUGUCGAUGUAAAAAGUAUUUCUUCGUGUUAGGAAGAAAUAUUAGUCUAUGCUCAUAUGUACUUAUCUUCAAUGACAAGUAAAGGAAAAGAAAACGAAGAUAUCUGACCACUGCUAUCCUCUUUUCCUUUCGGUUUUCUCGGGCCAGCCCUCUUCUCUUUUAUCCUUUCUUUUUCUUCCUCAACGUCUCUUCCAUGGCACAUUAAGGAAACAAGAGAAAGAAGACGAUAUAUCCUCGUUGUGGCACACAGAGAGUUAAAGAUCAACAAGCUGCCCUUGAUUAAUAACUGGUACAACUUUCUUCCUAUUCGUCCAUUAAUUUCUCUCUGUUUUGGGUUAGAUUCCACUUGUUUGGCCAUUGAUGUAGCAUCAUUCAUGUUGUUUAUAAAUGUUAGUGAGUUUUCCCUUUUAGCUCAAAAUGACUCUGUAAUUAAUUAAGAUCUCAGCUAGUUUCUCACUGGCUCCUCUCUUUAUAACUUUCAUUGCUCUUCUUUGCUGGGCUCAUAUUUUUCUUCUUAAAUAUUCCUGCUCUGUUCUUUCUAUCUCAUUAUCUUCUGACAGUUAUUAUUCACUUCUAUCUCCUUCUUUCUGAUUUUCCACAUGUUUUGGGCUAGAACCUCUGAGCUAUAGACCACUAUUAUUGUCUGAUCAUUCUAAUACACUCUUGUUUGAUCAUAUACAGCCUUUAUUUAUGAGAUAUAAAAUAAUCUCCCAACUGUCCUCCAUCCGCUAGCUUCUCUCUUUAUUUACCAGGUGUAAGAUCUCAACUAGUCUUUGACUAAUAGUGAAUCUGAAAGAAUAAAAAUAUGGAUUGUCAAUCAAUUUUUGCCGUCUGCCUUCUGAUCUCACUUCUCUAUUUGAAUUUUCCAGUUGGUGUUAAAUAAUAUGGUUUUGGUUUUAACGAAUAUUCAUCGACAUGGCUCUUCCUAGUUAUAUUACUCAUCAUUAUAAUUAUAUCGUUUGUUUUCUUAUUGCUUGUUACAGGGAAUAAUUAUCACAAGUAGAGCUUACUUCUACACAUAUCAAGCAUAUACAAAUAUGGCUUCCUCUUCUUCUCCCACUACUCCAUAUUUGAAGCACGAAGUGUUCCUCAGUUUUAGAGGCACGGACACCCGCAAUAGUUUCACCAGUCAUAUUUAUGAUGCUUUGCAGCGAAACCAAAUUGAUGCUUACAUCGAUAAUAAACUUGAUGGAGGAGAAAAGAUCGAGCCUUCCCUCUUGGAAAGGAUUGAGGAGUCAUGUAUUUCGCUAGUCAUUUUCUCUGAAAAUUAUGCAGAUUCUACUUUCUGUUUGAGGGAACUCUCCAAGAUUCUUGAGUGCAGAGAGACCAAACAACAGAUGGUCUUACCAGUUUUUUACCGACUUGAUCCAAGCCAUGUUCAAAAUCUGACUGGGAGCUAUGGAGAUGCACUUUGCAAGCAUGAAAGAUAUUGCAGUUCUGAAGAAGUAGAGAGUUGGAGACGUGCUUUGAAAGAAAUAGCUAAUCUCAAGGGCUGGGAUUCAAACGUCAUUAAGUAAGUUAUUAAUUUAGUUGCAGCAUAUUAAACCCAACCUAUUUAAACAAUUUUGUUCGAGAAUAAAUGUUGUGUUUGAUGUUAUGAUAAAAUUUAUUAGGUUAUGACAGCAUGUCUUUGUUCUUAAUUUGUUUAUUAUGCACUGCAGGGAUGAGACCAAGCUAAUUCAUGAAAUCCUUACCGACAUUCAAAAGAAAUUGAACCAUGAGGUGUCACUCUCAUUCAUUGCAAAAGGCCUUUUUGGAAUGAAAUCACGGGUUGAAGACAUCGAAUCAUUACUAUCCUUUGGAUCAACCGGCGUGCUCAUCGUGGGAAUCUGGGGGAUGGGUGGUAUAGGUAAGUCCACAACGGCUGAAACUGUGUAUCUUCGAAACUGUAGUAAAUUUGAAGGCCAUUGCUGUUUCCGAGAUGUUAGGGAAGAAUCACGGAAGCAUGGAGUAGAUCAUGUAAGACAGGAAAUUCUUGGUGAAGUAUUAAAGAAGAAAGAUAUGACUAUACGCACAAAAGUGUUACCCCCGGCCAUUAAGCAAAUGCUUCAAAGAAAAAAAGUACUCAUAGUUCUUGAUGAUGUCAAUGAUCCACAAGAUUUAAAAUAUUUAGUAGGAGAGGAUGGUUUGUUUGGCCAAGGAAGUAGAAUCAUGGUGACAAGUAGAGAUAGGCAAGUGCUUAUAAAUGCAUGUGAUGAAGACAAAAUUUACGAGGUUAAAAUUUUAGAUAAAGACGAUGCUCUUCAACUCUUCAGCUUACAUGCUUUUAAACAAAAUAAUCCCAUAGAAGGAUAUAUUGGGCUAUCAAAAACUGUGGUAAGCUGUGUUAAGGGCAUUCCAUUAGUUCUCGAGGUUUUAGGUGGCAUUCUAUGCAAUAGAAGGAGUGUUGACUACUGGGAAAGUACGGUGGCACAGCUAAGAACAAAUGGUAGCGAGGACAUUAGGAAACAUUUGGAAUUGUGUUAUCAUGAAUUAAAUCAGAUAGAAAAGAAAAUAUUUCUUGAUAUAGCAUGUUUCUUUGGACGGUGCAAAAGGGAUCACCUCCAACAAACACUAGAUCUGAAAGAAAGAAGUGGGAUCGAUCGUCUCGCUGAUAUGUGUCUAAUAAAAAUUGUUCAAGACAAGAUCUGGAUGCAUGAUCUUUCUUCUUGCUCAAAACUAACAAGUCUACCGGACAACAUUGGCGAGUUGAGAUCUCUUGCAGAGCUUAAUCUUUCUUCUUGCUCAAAACUAGCAAGUCUACCGGACAGCAUUGGCGAGUUGAGAUCUCUUGCAGAGCUUAAUCUUUCUUCUUGCUCAAAACUAGCAAGUCUACCGGACAGCAUUGGCGAGUUGAGAUCUCUUGCAGAGCUUAAUCUUUCUUCUUGCUCAAAACUAGCAAGUCUACCGGACAACAUUGGCGAGUUGAGAUCUCUUACUAUUCUUAAUCUUUAUUCUUGCUCAAAACUAGCAAGUCUACCGGAAAGCAUUGGCGAGUUGAGAUCUCUUACUAUGCUUGAUCUUUGUGGUUGCUAUGGACUAACAAGUCUACCGGACAACAUUGGCGCGUUGAAAUCUCUUCAUCGGCUUAAUCUUGAUGGUUGCUCGGGACUAGUAAGUCUACCAAACAGCAUUGGCGGGUUGAAAUCUCUCAAAUCGCUUUUAUCAAGACUAACAAGUCUACCAGACAGCAUUGACAACUUGAAAUCUCUCAAAUUGCUUAAUCUUAAUGGUCGCUCAAGACUAGCAAGUCUACCAGAUAGCAUUGGUGAGUUGAAAUCUCUCAAAUCUCUUUGGUUUAGAGGUUUCUCAAGACUAGCAAAUCUACCGGACAACAUUGGCGCGUUGAAAUAUCUUGAAGACCUUGAUCUUGAAGAUUGCUCAGGACUAGCAAGUCUACCAGACAACAUUGGCGCAUUGAAAUCCCUUAAAAAACUUUAUCUUAGUGGUUGCUCAAGACUAGCAAGUCUACCAGACAGCAUUGGCGCGUUGCAAUCUCUCGAAUAUCUUAAUCUUAGAGGUUGCUCAAGACUAGAAAGUCUACCAGACAGCAUUGGCGCGUUGCAAUCUCUCAAAUCUCUUCAUCUUAAAGGUUGCUCAGGACUAGUAAGUCUACCAGACAUUAUUGGCGCGUUGCAAUCUCUCAAAAACCUUAAUCUUAGCGAUUGCUCAGGACUAGUAAGUCUACCGGAUAGCAUUGGCGCGUUGAAAUCUCUUGAAUACCUUAAUCUUUUAGAUUGCCCAGGAGUAGCAAGUCUACUGGACAUCAUUGGCCCGUUGAAAUCUCUUGAAUACCUUUGUCUUUAUGGUUGCCCAGGAGUAGCAAGUAUACUGGACAACAUUGUUGCAUUGAAAUCUUUAAACGCACUUUAUCUUAGUGGUAUCUCAAAACUAGAAAGUCUACCGGACAGUAUUGGCGCGUUGAAAUCUCUUGUAUUACUUGGUCUUCAUGGUUGCUCAGGACUAGCAAGUCUACCGGACAGUAUUGGCGCAUUGAAAUCUCUUAAGUUCCUUAAUCUUUCUGGUUGCUCGGGACUAAAAAGUCUACCGGACAACAUUGUUGAGUUGAAACAUCUUACUAUGCUCAUUCUCAGUGGUUGCUCGGGACUAAAAAGUCUACCGGACAGCAUUGUUGAGUUGAAACAUCUUUUUAUGCUCGUUCUCAGUGGUUGCUCGGGACUAAAAAGUCUACCCGACGGUAUUGGCGAGUUGAAACAUCUUACUAUACUCAAUCUCAGUGGUUGCUUAAAACUAGCGAGCCUUCGAGAUAACUUUAUUGAUCUUGAAUUUGGAGGACUUGACAAACAACCUUGUUAUACGCUGAGAGGAUUCCAGAAAGGAGAAGAAAUUGCAUCAUCCACCAAUAAAUUAGGUUGCCAUGAAUUUUUAAAUUUGGGAAAUUCUCGUUUGUUGAAAACUCCAGAGAGCUUAGGCUCUUUUGUGUCACUAACAAAGUUGAGAUUAUCUGAGAUUGAUUUUGAGAGGAUACCUGCAAGCAUCAAGCACCUUACUGAGCUACGUGAACUCUUUUUAGAUGAGUGCAAGCGCCUUCAAUGUUUACCAGAGCUUCCAUCAACUCUACAAGUUUUAAUCGCAUCAGGCUGCAUCUCUCUAAAAUCUGUAGCAAGUAUAUUCAUGCAAGGUGAUAGAGAAUAUGAAGUUGCUUCUCAGGAAUUCAAUUUCUCUAAUUGCCUCCAACUGGAUCCGAAUUCACGCACUAAAAUUAUGGGUGAUGCCCGUUUACGAAUUCAACGCACGACAACAUCGUUGUUUUAUCAGGUGAAUUCUUCCUCCCUCGAUCUUGAUUUAUUUAAAGAAAAAAAUCACGAUAAUUUUUUAUAUGUAGCUCACAUCAUCACUCUCUUCGGUGCACGCAGAUCGUUAUAUACCCAUUAGAGUUCGGUUGUGUAUUCCUGGUUCGGAAGUCCCGGAGUGUUUCAGCUAUAAAAAUAGAGAAGGAUCUUCAGUAAAAAUCCGGCAACUAGCUCAUUGGCAUCGUGGUUUCACUUUAUGCAGUGUUGUUUCAUUUGGCCAAAGCGAGGAAAGGCAUCCGGUUAAUAUUGAAUGUGAAUGCCAUUUGAUAAUCAAAGAUGGAACCCAGAUUGAUCUCAGUUCCUACUACUACGACAAAUAUGAAGCAAAGGUGAGGAGUCCAACUAUAUGGAAAAGGGAGCAUGUGUUCAUUUGGAGUGUCCACUGUAAGUGUUUUUUCAAGGAGGCCUCGUUCCAUUUCAAACCACUGUGCGAAGCUACUGAUGUGGUGGUUCAGUGUGGAGUCCAUCCAUUGUUAAAGUAGGAGCAACCAUACGCUAAAAUGGACAAACUUAUGACAUUGGUAACUCGUCUUCUCCUAUUCUUUUUCUAUACAAAUACUUACGAAACAACUCAAUUGAAAUGAAACCAGAUAGUCUUAUGUAUUAGAGAUGAAAAUGAUAUAUUUGUCCUCCUACAAAACAAAAUAAUAAUUAUCAAUUGGAUCCCAUCUAUCACAUCUUACCAAUUAACCCCACCAUUAAAAUUUAUGGUAUAAAUGACAUCAUUUUAAUGGGUGCAUGGUUCUAAGGUCUUGAUAAAAAAAACAAUUGGUUCAGUAGGUUAACUCGGGUUAUUUUUUGUUUUUUAAUAGUUUUUUUUUCAAUUUCAUCCUUCAACAUUAAGUUAAUUGAGAAUUUAGUUUCAUAUUUUUGUUUUGUUUUCUAUGAGUUUAUCGUGAUCCCAAGAUCCAGGCUACAAGUUUUAUGAGUUAGCAAGGUUGACUCAAUUUUAUUUUUUAUUUUAUUUUUUUUUCAUCUCUCAACAUUGGAUUGAUUGAGAAUUUAACUUCAUAUUUUAAUUUUAUUUUAAUCUAUAGAUUUAUCCUGGUCUUAUGAUCCAAGUUUAUUAUAUUAACCCGGGUUGACUCAAUAUAUUUUUUUAAUUGAUUUUUUUUUAAAUUGAAUCCUUUAACAUUGGGUUGAUUGAAAAUUGUGCUUUGUAAUUUUUUUUACCAUAAUCUCAUGACCCGGGUCGAUUGUUAGCUCGGUUGCCUCGAGUUUUUUUGUGUUCUUUUUAAAUGCAUUUGUUUUUCAAUUUCUUCUAUUAAUAUUGGGUUAAUUGGGAAUUAAGCUUCAUAAUUUAUUUUGGUUUUUUUUCUAUGAAGAUAUCUUGACCUCAUAACUCGAGUCGCGGGUUUAAUUUGUGAACUUGGGUUGAAUCGAGUGGUUUUUUCAUGUUUUUUCAUUAAUUUUUUUUAACAAUUUUAUUUUACAAUAUUGGGUUGAUUGAGAAUUGAGUUUUUAAAUUUUAAUUUGACUGGCAGUGUAGCGUGGACAAUUAUCUAGCGUGGACAAUUACUGUACCCCUUGUCACAAAAGCACUAUUCAUUGGAAUUAUGAUUUUUUUUAUGCUUUUUUUUCAAUCAAUUUUUUUUUAAUUUCAUCUUUUAAUAUUAUAUUUGUUUUUAUUAAGUUAUUUCACUCUCAUGACAUGGAUUGCUGGCUUGACGAGUUAACCUGGUUUACUUAAAUUUUUCUUCAAUUUCAUCUUUUAAUAUUGAUUUGAUAGGAAUUUAGGCUUCAUGAUCUGUUUUGUUUACUUUCUAUUGUGUUAUUCUUGCAUGCCUUAUGAUCGAAGAAUCGUGUUUAACAAGUUAACCCAAGUUCACUAAUAGUUUUUUGUGUCUUCUUUUAUUUUAUUUUUUAAUUUUAUCAUUCAACAUUGAGUCAGUUGGAAAUUGAGUUUCAUACUCUAUUUUGAUUUGCUUUCUAUGAGGAUAUUUUGCUAUCACAAUCAAGGUCACAAGUUUUUUAUAAUGUUAUCUCAAUUUGAUGGCGCAAGUCAUGGGUGUGGCUGAUUGACUCAUGUCGGUUUUUUUAUUUAUUAAUUUUUAAUUGUUUUUUUUAAUCUUAUCCUUCAACAUUAGGUUGAUUGGUGAUUGUAAUUUGUAAUUUUAUUUAUUUAUUUUUUAUGGGAUUAUCUUGAUUUUAUCCUUCAACAUUAGGUUGAUUGGUGAUUGUAAUUUGUAAUUUUAUUUAUUUAUUUUUUAUAGGAUUAUCUUGAUCUUCUAACCCCGAUCGCGAGUUUGACAAGUUAACUCGGGAGGUGUAAACUUAACUGGAUUUUUCAUUCACCAUGCAGUGCAUUAAGAUCAUUUGACCAAAAUGAUUAUUUUCUUUUUUCAUUUUGCUAAUAGUUCUUUGUCGCUUGUAAACAGAAUACGGACAGAGUAAUAAAGUAUUAGUUAGAGGAGACAUACAUGGCUUCGGUAUCAUGCAGCUGGGAUUGAUAACAAGGCAAAGACCAAUAGGAGAAACGCUCGCCGACGGGCUUGAUAUAAGGAAGGAGCCAUAUUAAAAGGUUUUUUUUUAAUUAAUUUCAUUUUCAGAUUUUUUUACCGAACACUAAGUUGCUUUUAAAUUGACGGAAAACAAAGCUAAAUAAGUAGUUAGGUUAAAAGAUUAUUUUUUUAGCAAUUUCAUUUUUUUCUUUUAAUUUUUCUCUUGGAUUUUUUGUACAAAAUAGUGGGGAUGCCUUUGAAUUCUAAUUUUAAACCUAAGAUAGGUAAGGAGUCGGAUUAAUAAAAUUUAAAUUUGACACAAUAGACCGAGUUUAAUAAAAUAUCAAAUAAUUUUUUAUAAUUUAAAUAUUUUUUAUUAUGUUAAAAAAAAUUAAUUCAACCUACAUGGUAAUAUAAAAUUAUAGAAGACUUGGGAGUAAUUUAUAAUUAAUUAAAGUACUACUAAAAAACAAAUCAAAACAAAAAAAAAAAUUCUAAAUGGGCUCGAUUAACUACCAAUCAGACCACAGCAGUACAUAGCCCAAAACCAAAGGCCCAAUUCAUUCCGUCUCUUUUUCUGUAUCAAUCGAUACGCAUAAAUUCUUGAAUUAUUUUAUUUUAUUUUUAUGGUUCUUGUUUUAUAGAUCGAAAUUGUUUGAUUUCUCUCAGAUCUGACGUUCCAAAUGAUUGAAGAGAUCUGCGAUCGUAUCAAGAUUGUUCAAAUUUCCGAUUCCAGCCCUUCUCUCUCUUCGACCACAGGUUAGAAGAAGUAGCUUCACUUUGUUUAAUUAAUAUUUCUCUGAAAUUGAUUUUUUUAAAAAAAUUUCAGUUGAAUCCGUAGAAGAUACGAAAUUCGAUACAGGUUCGUGUUUUUAUUAAAAAAAAUGUAUUAGAAAUUAUUUGUUGAAGUACUGAUUAUCAGUGUUUUUUUUUUUUUGCUUCUGCUUAGGCUUAGAAAUUGUAAUUGUGAAUUAUUUGAUUUUAUUUGUUAUUGAAUUUAAUUUUUUAUUUAUCUUUUUAAUUCUAGGGUUUCUAAAUUUUUAAAGUCGUUUUUAAUUAAGAGAAAAAAAAAGAGUUAAAUUGAGUCAAAUUCGGUGCUGUAGAACUGUAGACAUUUGUAUUUUAUAUUGAAAUUGUUUUGACUCGAAAAGGUUAUUUUGAUUUUAAUGAAUUUUCAGGAGAAACUAUUAAUUCGGAGGAGGAGAGCGUAUCUAAUAGAAUUCGACAAGUUUCCCCAUCUCAGGGGCCAACACUGCCCAUUUUGCAGAAAAUUAUCAAUUUAAGUGAUAAAAUUCAGGUACUUAUUUUGAACUUUGGUGGUGUUGGGUAUCGUAUAGAUGACUUGAAAAGACUUGGUUUUAGUUGUAGAAUUCAGGCAAUUUUAAAUUUCAUUGUUUUAGCUAGUAAAUUAGGAUUUUGCAUUAUUAUGUUGAUGGGGGUAUUGAUUUGUUAUCUUUCUUUGAAUUUAAUUGUUGUUGUUUUAGAAUUUGAAGAAAGAACACUCAAAUCUCUCUAAUCAAGUAAAGACUGCCAAGGAUUCCUUUCUUGGCCCCAAUAUUUUAGACACCCUUCAAAAACUCGGUGAGUAUCCAAUAGUGAAACUAAUUUAUUUCUUCUUUUCAUUUUUUAUUUUUUUAGAGGGGUUUGGUUUUGAUAGUUUACUCGUUGAAAUAUUGGUCAGGUAAUGAAUAUGAACUUCUUAAAAAGAGGUAUCUACAAGAGUUGUCUGAGAGAAAGAGGCUUUACAAUGAGGUGAUCGAGCUUAAAGGGAAUAUUAGGGUCUUCUGUAGAUGCAGACCACUAAAUCAAGUUGAAAUAACACAUGGUUUGAGCUAUGUAGUUGAUAGUUUACUUGUUGAAAUAUUGGUCAUGUAAUGAAUAUGAACUUCUUAAAAAGAAGUAUCUACAAGAGUUGUCUGAGAGGAAGAGGCUUUACAAUGAGGUGAUCGAGCUUAAAAGGAAUAUUAGGGUCUUCUGUAGAUGCAGACCACUAAAUCAAGUCGAAAUAACAAAUGGUCUGAGCUAUGUAGUUGAAUUUGACUCUUCCCAAGAUAAUGAGUUGCAGAUCAUUUCCUCUGAUUCUUCCAAAAAGCAAUUUAAGUGGACCAUGUUUUUGGACCUGAGGAUAAUCAAGGUGAUCUGAUGUUUUAUUUUAUGUAUUGCUACUGCAGACAUCCUGUUAAAGAUUAUGUGUGCAAUUGAAGCUUUUAAUCCUUUGUCUUUGUGAUAUGCAGAGGCUGUUUUUGUACAAACUAAACCAAUAGUUGCUUCAGUUUCGGAUGGCUACAAUGUCUGCAUAUUCGCCUAUGGACAAACUGGAACUGGAAAGACAUUUACUGUGGAGGGCAGCCCAGAAAAUAGGGGAGUGAACUACAGAACAUUGGAUGAGUUGUUCGGAGUUUCUCAAGAAUAUUAUGGUUGUCUUUUUGUUAGUAUGAUGGAGGUUUACAAUGAGAAGAUAGGGACCUCUUGAUUGAUAGUUCCAACCAACCGCCUAAAAAGUUAGUUUCCUCUUUUAUUGCUACUGUAUUGAUCUUAUAAUCAAAUAUAGUCAUUUAUAUCAAAUUUUUUGAUAGUUUGUUGCGAGUAACAGUGAAAGGAGAGAAUUUAAUAGAUGGACAAAAGACAAGAAGUCACCUAUGGAUGGUCGAUUUGGCUGGUAGUGAACGUGUGGGAAAGAUUGAUGUUGAAGGUAAAAGAUUGAAGGAAUCGCAAUUCAUUAAUAAAUCUCUUUCAGCACUUGGUGAUGUUUAUAUCUGCCCUCGCAUCUAAAACUGGCCACAUUCCUUACAGGUCUUUCUCUCACACAGUCACUCUUGUAACAUGCUAUCCAAUUACCAUAUUAAUGAAGAUAUUUGUUUUCUUCCGAUCAGGAACUCAAAGCUAACCCAUAUGCUACAGAGCUCUCUCGGUGAGUAUUAAGUUUACUAUUUUUUAUGGUUACCAGACAUUCUUAUUGUCUUGUUUGUCAGUAAAAGGUGAUAAGUGAAACAUGAAUGCAGGAGGAGAUUGUAAGACCUUGAUGUUUGUCCAAAUAAGUCCAAGCGCUACUGACCUUGGAGAGACGCUUUGUUCACUAAAUUUUGCGAGUCGAGUGCGAGGAAUUGAAAGUGGUCCUGCCCGCAAACAGGCUGAUCUCUCUGAACUUUUCAAAUACAAGCAAAUGGUAUAUAUAUACUGCUCGUAUUUGAUGAAAUUUCUUUUGUCUCAGUUUCUUUUAUCUUGAUUCUUAUUUUCUUUCCCGUUUCAAUUACAAAUAAUCAGGUAGAAAAGUUAAAGCAUGAUGAGAAGGAAACAAAGAAGUUACAGGAUAGCUUGCAAUCAUUGCAGUUGAGGCUUGCUGCUAGAGAACGUAUGUGCAGAACUCUCCAAGAAAAGGUAAUUCUGAUGGCUUGAGCUCCAUUUAAUGCUUUUUUUUAUUUAUUAUUACUAUGAAACAUGUGGAAAAUAUAUUGGAGAUGUUUUUUCGUUUUUCUUUUGCUUUUAUUGUCCCUUAAAUGGCAUUUUAAGUCAUUUUGUAGACUAACAAAUAACUUUUCUUACAAUAGGUUCGAGAGCUUGAGAAUCAAUUAGCGGAGGAAAGAAAAACCAGACUAAAGCAGGAAACACGAGCUUUUGCAUCAGAAGCCAUCUCUGUGUCCUUCAAAGUUAAGGUUGCUGUUGCGAAAAAUCACCAAUCUCAUGCCUCCACCAUGUCCUCUACAAAAAUAGAACCGGUUCUGUUUUAUCUUCAAAGCAUGACAAAGAAAACAAUCCAAGAACCACAGCUGCAGGAACAAAUACAAAAAGCCUUAUGAAACCCAGACGUAUGUCUGUUGCAGUCAGACCUCCUCCUCCAAUUUCAGCACAGGUUUUUCAGCCUAAGAGACGGGUGUCCAUUGCUAGCUAUCGUUUAGAGCCAACCUCAAACAUGACACCUCUUCAUGGGGAGUCAUUUGUCAUGGGGAGUCCUCCGCCACAAGCAGGUUCUUGGAAGCCAAAGCACCCAACAGUUGUUGCACUGCAACGAAAAUCUCUGGUGUGGAGCCCGCUAAAGUUAAGGAGCUUUCAAAACAGGAGACCAUCUUUGGUGCCCUAUCGAUCAUCAUCAACUAAUGAGGUGCAAUAAAACUUAGUCUUCAUUUUCAUGAUAAAUAGUAGGAGUAUACUUUUUUUUUCUUGAUUCCCCUCUUCCCAUUUUUCUUACAUGAAUUUUAUCAUUUCUCCUCUGGAUAUUAAUCGCAAUUGUAUGCUACUUGCCUACUCAUUCGCGGUUGUAUGUUAUUUGCUUUCCUACAUGAGUCAACAACUCCAUUCAACAGUGAGAAACACAGAAAAAAAAACACAGGAGUUUUUCGAUGCUUUAACUCAUCUUGGCCAGUGGGACAUCCUGCUUUUUGACUAAUUUAUACAAGAUAGAGCUCUACAUCAACAAUUCAUAAGAAAUUGGCAUGCCACUCUCUCAUCAAUUAUUUAAGAUAUGAUAGAGGAGAUAAGAAAAUGAUUGCUAUUAUCGACCAUCUUCCUCUCCAGUCUCUGUCUCAACUAAAAAUAGUUUAAGCAAAAGUCAUGUUAAUUCCCAGUAAUCCAAUCAACUGCUUUCGAGUUCUCCUAAUUAUUUAAGACACUUUAAAUUUAAUUAAUUUUAUUGUUUUAAGUAUCAACAAUUAUUGUUUUUUAUCUGUUCGUAAACAAUAAUAUAACAAAGGCUAGAGUGUGAGUGGAUGAAUCGCAACCUUUCAAUAACUUCAAGCCACAAAAUCUUAAUCUAAACCAAAACGCAACAUCUUAUAUGAUUUAAGAAUCAAUCGUAAAAGGACAUGUUAGUAACGAGUUUAAGGGCAUGUUUAUUUCUACAUUUCAAAAGUGUUUUCGAAAAAGAAUUGAAUUUUUUUAAUUUUUUAUUAACUUUAAAUUAAUAUGUUUUUAGUGUUUUUAAAUUAUUUUGAUGUGCUAAUGUUAAAAAUAAUUUUUUAAAAAUAAAAAAACAUUAUUAACAUGUAUUUUUACAUGAAAAAUUAUUUGAAAAGCAAUCGCAACCUGUUAAACAUACUUAAUGUUAUUAAAGGACAUGUACAAUUAAAGCUCUUUGACGUGAUUAGCCUAAUCAGUCAUUUUAAAUAUGUGAUCAAUUCAUAAUAAUAAAAAAUGGUAUAAAACAAUGUUGAUGUAAACUUUGAUUAAAAAUCAAUAACGUUAACGUGAAACAACAAUAAGUCUUUAUAUAAACUAAAUAAUAAAGAAGUAAAGUAGAUAUAUUUCAGAAUAAAAAAAUGAUUCUAAAAAUUUAAUAGAAUAAUAUGAUCUAUGCAAGGAUGACACAAGAAAAACUAGGAUUUUAAUGUAAAAUCAUUUAUAAAUUAGUUUUGUUUUAUUGAACAUAACUCUCAAUCUAAUUAUUAAAUAAAGAUAAAAUUUUAUGAGAAAUCUUCUAACCUAUUACUUUAUUAUAAGUUAAAAUUUUAGAUCAAGUUCAGAAAAAUUGUACAAGAAUGGACAAAAAAAUAACAUGUAAACUUAUUAAUGGUAUUUUUGUAAAUAAACUAGAUGAGCUGGAAAUUUCAAUUUCUUCUUCUCCUGGGCAAUCCCUACAGAAGAAAUUGUCCUUUUUUAUAUUGUGCUUCUCACAUGUCUUGAGAAAUGGGUUAUUCUCCAUCAUUAAUUACUACUAUCUCUUAUAUCAAACACUUUUUCAUGAUCCCCCCCUCAAAGAAGUAGCUCCUCCUUGCUAGAAAAUUAAUUGUGAAUUUUGAACAUUAUCGGCUAUGUAUGGAUGCAUAUAGUGAGUUUUUUUUUUAUUUAUUCUUUUUAAAUGCAUUUGUUUUUCAUUUACAUCCAUUAAAAUUGGGUUAAUUAAAUAUUAGACUUUAUAAUUCAUUUUGGUUUGUUUUCUAUGAAGAUAUCCCGACUUCAUGACUUGAGUCACUGGUUUGGUUGGUUAACUCAGGUUGACUCGAGUGGUUUUUCAUGUUUUUUGUUAAUUAUUUUUUUUUAUAAUUUUUUUUAAUAUUAGAUUGAUUAGGAAUUGAGUUUUCAAUAUUAGAUAAUUAUCUACUAUUAACUUUAAAUUAAAAUAGGAGAGGUUUUAACUGUACCCUUCGUCACUAAGCACUAUUCAUUGAAAUAAUGAUUUGCUUCUUUUUUUCUAUGCUUUUUUUUUUCAAUCAAUGUUUUUUUUUAAUUUUAUCAUUUAAUAUUAAAUUAUUUUUUUAUUGAAUUAUUUCACUUUCAUGAUACAAAUUGCCAGUCUAACGGUUGACCGGGUUGACUCAAUUUUUUUCUUCAAUUUCAUCACUUAAUAUUGGGUUGAUCUGAAAUAUGAUUUGUUUUGUUAACUUUCUAUCGUGUUAUUUUAGCCUCAUGGCCGGAGAAUCGUGCUUAACAAGUUAACCCAAGUUGACUCAAAUAGUUUUUUAUGUUUUUUUAAUUAUUAUUUUUUUAAUUUUAUCUUUCAACACUAAGUCAAUUGGAAAUUGAUUUUUAUAUAUAAAAAAAAUAUUUGCUUUCUAUAGAGAUAUCAAGGUUGCAAGUUUUGGUAUUUUAACACUAUUCUGUCAAUGGAAAUUUUACUAACUAAUUCACCGAUGGAAUGUUUUUGUUGGUAUACCAUUCGUCGGUAAUUCCACUAUUUGUCGCUAAUUCUAUCAGAAUUUUUUUAAAAAAAACAAUGGUUUUACAAACAUUUAUGAUCUUUCAUUCAAGUAGAAAAAGAACACACUUCUAUUUUAAAAGAUUCCGGAAGACCACCAGUAUCCAUAAGGAAAUCACCAGGAAAUGACUGCUUGGCUGUGUUCAAAAAUCAAAAGGGCACACAGCAAGUCAAGCGUACGCGUACACGACGCUUUAAAGUCAAGCUAGCGUUAAACACAAUAAUGAUUGAUAUUUUAAAACCAUAAACAUUCCUUCCUGGAAACCGACCUCAACUUUUCCUCACCGACAAAAGUAAAGAAAAGGAAAGGAAGAUUGAUGACUAAUUCCGUUUUGAAUUGAGGUUGAAAUUUCUUUUUUCGUUAAAAUUUAAUUUUUUUUAGUAUUUUUAUUUAUGGAUAUUAAAAAUAAUUUUUAAUAUAUUUUCAAAUAAAAAAAACAUUUUAUAACACUAUAACAUUAAUAAACCGGCUGCCGGCUGUAAGCGCUUCAAUGUUUUAUACAAUUUGUGGGGUUUGGUUGGAGAUAAUAAUUACCGCGUAUUCCUCCAUUAAUUCAACUUUUUAAAAUAAUUAAUUACAAAAAAAUGUUGAGUCUUUGUCUGGUGAGUACUCUAUUAAAUUAUUAAUUUUCAUUCCCAACUUAUAAUUGGUUAAUUAGAUAAUCUCCAUUUGCUCAGCGUAUGUAGUAAACAAUAUAUAGUAGUUUGAUGUUAUACACAUUCCUUCCAGGAAACUGACCUCAACGUCUCUUCCAUGGCACAUUAAGGCACACAGAGGGUUAAAGAUCAACAAGCUGCCCUUGAUUAAUAACUGGUACAACUUUCUUCCUAUUCGUCCAUUAAUUUCUCUCUGUUUUGGGUUAGAUUCCACUUGUUCGGCCAUUGCUGUAGCAUCAUUCAUGCUGUUUAUAUAUGUUAUUGAGUUUUCCCUUUUAGCUCAAAAUGACUCUGUAAUUAAUUAAGAUCUCAGCUAAUUUCCCACUGGCUCCUCUCUUUAUAACUUUCAUUGCUCUUCUGUUUGAGGGAACUCUCCAAGAUUCUUGAGUGCAUGGAGACCAAACAACAGAUGGUCUUACCAGUAUUUUACCGACUUGAUCCAAGCCAUGUUCAAAAUCUGACUGGGAGCUAUGGAGAUGCACUUUGCAAGCAUGAAAGAGAUUGCAGUUCUGAAGAAGUAGAGAGUUGGAGACGUGCUUUGAAAGAAAUAGCUAAUCUCAAGGGCUGGGAUUCAAACGUCAUUAAGUAAGUUAUUAAUUUAGUUACAGCAUAUUAAACCCCAACUUAUUUAAACCAUUUUGUUCGAGAAUCAAUAUUGUGUUUGAUGUUAUGAUAAAAUUUCUUAGGUCUUAGCCUUUGUUCUUUAUUUAUUAUGCACUGCAGGGAUGAGACCAAGCUAAUUCAGGAAAUCGUUUCCGACAUUCAAAAGAAAUUGAACCAUGAGCUGUCCCUCUCAUUUGAUUCAAAACGCCUUGUUGGAAUGGCAUCACGCGUUGAAGACAUCGAAUCAUUACUAUCCUUGGGAUCAACCGGUGUGCUCAUCGUGGGAACUGGGGGAUGGGUGGUAUAGGUAAGUCAACAACGGCUGAAGUUGUGUAUCAUCGAAACUGUAGUAAAUUUGAAGGCCAUUGCUUUUUCCAAAAUGUUAGGGAAGAAAAUUCUUGGUGAAGUAUUAGAGAAGAAAGAUAUGACUAUACGCACAAAAGUGCUACCCCCGGCCAUUAAGCGAAUGCUUCAAAGAAAAAAAGUCCUCAUAGUUCUUGAUGAUGUCAAUGAACCACAAGAUUUAAAAUAUUUAGUAGGAGAGGAUGGUUUGUUUGGCCAAGGAAGUAGAAUCAUGGUGACAAGUAGAGAUAGGCAAGUGCUUUUAAAUGCAUGUGAUGAAGACAAAAUUUACGAGGUUAAAAUUUUAGAUGAAGACGAUGCACUUCGACUCUUCAGCUUACAUGCUUUUAAACAAGAUCGAUCGUCCCAUAGAAGGAUAUACAAUGAAAGGAGUGUUGAAUACUGGGAAAGUAAGGUGGCACAGCUACGAACAAAUGGUAGCGAGGACAUUAAGAAACAUUUGGAAAUGUGUUAUCAUGAAUUAAAUCAGACAGAAAAAAAAAUAUUUCUUGAUAUAGCAUGUUUCUAUGGACAUUAAGAAACAUUUGAAGGGAUGUAUAAUUUAAGAUUGCUCAAAAUCUACUACCCAUCUUUCUUAGAGAAUCCCUCGAAGGAGCAAAUUAUGAAUGGAAAGAGGGUCGGAAUCCACCUUCCACGAGGGCUUCACUUUCUUUCAAGUGAGCUAAGGUUUCUUUACUGGUAUAAUUACCCUUUGAAAUCCUUGCCAUCAAAUUUUUUUCCCUGAGAAACCUUUUCAACUUGAAAUGCCUUGUAGCCAGCUUGAACAACUUUGGAAUGAAGGCAAGGUAAAUAUGCUUUAUCACCCUUCUUUUUCAAAUAUAGGACAAUUUUGAAAUUAUUGUAACAUUUAUCUUUUCUUACAUUAAUUUUUUUUUAUUUACAACCACUAGAGCUUCCCAGAUUCGAGAGUUUCUGUACUUUUCCAUCAUCAAUUGGGUGCCUCUCUCAACUUGUUAGAUUAAACUUAUCUUCAUGUGAAAGUCUUGCUAGUCUGCCAGACAAUAUUGGCGAGUUGAGAUCUCUCAAAUCGCUUAAUUUUAAUAGUCAUUCAGGAUUAGCAAGUCUACCAGACAACACUGACGCAAUGAAAUCCCUUAAAAAACUUGAUCUUAGUGGUUGCUCAGGACUAAAAAGUCUACCAGAUAACAUUGACACAUUGAAAUCCCUUAAAAUACUUGAUUUUAAUAGUUGUUCAGGACUAGCAAAUCUACCAGACAACAUUGGCAUGUUGAAAUCUCUUAAAAACCUUGAUCUUAGAGGUUGCUCAAGGCUAGCAAGUCUCUAAAUUCUUUGGCAUGAAAGAUCGCAUGUUUCAUUCACCUUGACCAAAAUGAUUUGUUCUUUUUUCAUUUUGCUAACAGUGCUUUGUUGCUUGUAAACAGAAUAUGGACAGAGUAAUGAAGUAUCAGUUAGAGGAGACGUAUACAGCUUCGGUAUCAUGCUGCUGAUACUCAGAUAAUCAGAUAAAUGUUGAAUGAGUUUGGUGAGAUGUUAUCAGAUAAUCAGCCUGCACUUGCACAUAUAAGAUGUUUGAGGCAUAGCUAUCAAGGUUUACAUCGUUUAUUCCUCUUCCUUGCUUGCUUUAACAAAAAUAAUAUUUAUGUUAUGCGUUGAGGAAUUUAGAGCUCCACCUGGAAACAUUUAUGGGGUUAAAAAAAAUUGAUAUUUCUCUAUAAUCAGCACAAGGCGAGUUGAGAAGUAAAUUGAUUAACACAAUUAACCGAAUUGACUCUCAAACUUUUAUUUUACUCUAAUUAAGUCCCUCGUUGUAUUAAUUAAACUAAUCCAAUGUUCAAACAAGUCCCUAAAACUUAUUAAUUCUUCCACUUUUAGCCAAAUUAACUUCCAACCUUAUUACUCUUUCAUUUUAGCACCUGAUUAAGCCCAUCCAAAGUACAAUUAGGUCCUUGGAUUCUUUGAUUUUUGCCAUUUAGCCCCCAUCUUCAGCUUUCUUCUUAAUGAAGCAUCUAUCAAAAUUGGACCGCUAAACUUUACAACCUUGUCCAUGUUGGUCCUCAAAUCUUUAAUUUAUUCAGCCUUAAUCACAUUUUCAAUCUGCUUUCUAAAUUUCUUCAACAAGACCUCAAAUUAUCCAUCUACCUAUCAACUAUAAAUUAAAUAUUUGUCCAAUCAUGAUUCAAUGCUUUAUUUUUUAUUACUGUUACUUUUUUUAAUUCAGAAUUGGGUGAAGACACAGAUAGUUGCAUGCAAACUGAAAUCUUGCCGUCCUCUAUGGAAUGUGAUCUAGCAAUAGUAUGAUCAAAACUUUUAGUAGUUAUUGCAAGUUUUCCUAAAAAAAUGUUCGAUGGUUUUGUUUUUAUAAUGUGUUCUUCUCCCUCUCUCUCCCUCUAAACAGUUAGGUGGCAGCAUUAAAUCUAUUUUAACUUGGAAUUGGUCUCUUUCUUGCUGCUUAAGAAAAAUGCAAAAGGUGAAAGAAAAGAAAUAAAAACUGAUUUUGAGUGAUCAAGUUCUCGAUGGGAUCAUUGUUCCACAAGAUCAAUGCCAUUGUUCCACAAGAUCAAUGCUCUCUCUGCCACCUACAAAGCAUCAGUUCCAUAAACUGUUUUUAACAAAGGAAAGAGCAAAGAAUAUAAGCUAUCAUCUCAACAAGUUUUUCAGUGAAAAACUAAGCCUUGGUGGCACACAGGCCUUGCUCCAGAUUGAACACCAAGUCUGGAUUAAAAACUCUGAAUCAUAUGUGAAGAGAAAAGUAGUAAAUUCUUCAUUCGAAACUUCAAUCAUGGUCUAAAAAGGGUUGUUUGGAAAAAGAUUCCGGAAGACCACCAGGAAAUUACUGCUUGGAUGUGUUCAAAAAUCAAAAGGGCACACAGCAAGUCAAGCGUCCUGUAAAAAUGAUUGCUACUUGGCGGUGAGGAAAAGUUGCUACUAUCAACUUUUCCUCACCGCUAAGUAAAGAAAAAGAAAAAGAAGAUAGAUGACUAAUCUUUUGGAAUUGAGGUUGAUUUUUGUUAAUUUUUGUUAAAAUUUGGAUUUGUUUAGUAUUGUUAAAAUUUAGAUUUGUUUAGUGUUUUUGAAUUAUGUCAAAAUAUUUUUAAAAAAUAAAAAAAAUAUUAUAUUAAUAUAUUUUUUAAAUAAACACUUUAAAAAUCAAACUUUAAAUGAUUCCGGAAUUUCCCUGGCUAAUUGUGGCUUACUUAAUGGGUUGUGAAAAUCUUUUUUGAAGAAAGGUUUAUGAGAUAUUGAGUUGUCAAGGACUGUUUCUGAAUUUGUACCUACCGAUAUACAGAUUCCAAGAAACCCUCCAAUACUGUGUUUGAAAUAAAGAUGAUGAGAGGAUCAAUGUGAACUCCCCCCCUUAAUUGUGAGUUGGCUAUAGCAUCGUUUAAGUUGUUUUGAUCUUCUCUUAUUGUCUGAUCAUUCUAAUACACUCUUGUUUGAUCAUAUUUAGCCUUUAUUUAUGGGAUAUAAAAUACUCUCCCAACUAGCUUCUCUCUUUAUUUAUCAGGUGUAAUUAAGAUCUCAACUAGCUAGUCUUUGAAUAAUUAUAUCGUUUGUUUUCUUAUUGCUUGUUACAGGGAAAAAUUAUCACAAGUAGAAAGCUUACUUCUACAUAUAUCAAGCAUAUAAAAAUAUGGCUUCCACUUCUUCUCCCACUACUCCAUAUUUGAAGCUUGAUGUGUUCCUCAGUUUUAGAGGCACAGACACCCGCAAUAGUUUCACCAGUCAUCUUUAUGAUGCUUUGGAUCGAAACCAAAUUGAUGCUUACAUCGAUAAUAAACUUGAUGGAGGAGAAAAGAUCGAGCCUGCCCUCUUGGAAAGGAUUGAAGAGUCAUGUAUUUCGCUAGUCAUUUUCUCUGAAAAUUAUGCAGAUUCUACUUUCUGUUUGAGGGAACUCUCCAAGAUUCUUGAGUGCAUGGAGACCAAACAACAGGUGGUGUUACCAGUUUUUUACCGACUUGAUCCAAGCAAUGUUCAAAAUCUGACUGGGAGCUAUGGAGAUGCACUUUGCAAGCAUGAAAGAGAUUGCAGUUCUCAAGAAGUAGAGAGUUGGAGACGUGCUUUGAAAGAAAUAGCUAAUCUCAAGGGCUGGGAUUCAAACGUCAUUAAGUAAGUUAUUAAUUUAGUUACAGCAUAUUAAACCCCAACUUAUUUAAACCAUUUUGUUCGAGAAUCAAUAUCGUGUUUGAUGUUAUGAUAAAAUUUCUUAGGUUAUGACAGCAUGUCUUUGUUCUUUAUUUACUAUGCACUGCAGGGAUGAGACCAAGCUAAUUCAGGAAAUCGUUACUGACAUUCAAAAGAAAUUGAACCAUGAGCUGUCACCCUCAUUUGAUUCAAAACGCCUUGUUGGAAUGAAAUCACGCGUUGAAGACAUCGAAUCAUUACUAUCCUUUGGAUCAACCGGUGUGCUCAUCGUGGGAAUCUGGGGGAUGGGUGGUAUAGGUAAGUCCACAACUGCUGAAACUGUGUAUCAUCGAAACUGUAGUAAAUUUGAAGGCCAUUGCUGUUUCCAAGAUGUUAGGGAAGAAUCACGGAAGCAUGGAGUAGAUCAUGUACGACAGGAAAUUCUUGGCAAGGUAUUAGAGAAGAAUGAUCUCAAAAUACACGGAAAAGUGCUACCCUCGGCCAUUAAGCGAAUGCUUCAAAGAAAAAAAGUCCUCAUAGUUCUUGAUGAUGUCAAUGAUCCACAACAUUUAAAAUAUUUAGUAGGAGAGGAUGGUUUGUUUGGCCAAGGAAGUAGAAUCAUGGUGACAAGUAGAGAUAGGCGAGUUCUUGAAAAUGCAUGUGAUGAAGACAGAAUUUACGAGGUUAAAAUUUUAGAUGAAGACGAUGCACUUCGACUCUUUAGCCUACAUGCUUUUAAACAAGAUCGUCCCAUAGAAGAAUAUAUUGGGCUAUCAAAAACUGUGGUAAGCUGUGUUAAGGGCAUUCCAUUAGUUCUCGAGGUUUUAGGUAGCAGUCUAUACAAAAAGACUGGUGUUGAAUACUGGGAAAGUAAGGUGGCACAGCUAAGAACAAAUGGUGGCGAGGACAUUAAGAAACAUUUGGAAAUGUGCUAUCAUGAAUUAGAUCAGACAGAAAAGAAAAUAUUUCUUGAUAUAGCAUGUUUCUUUGGACGGUGCAAGAAGGAUUUUCUCCAGCAAACACUAGAUCUUGAAGAAAGAAGUGGGAUAGAUCGUCUCGCUGAUAUGUGUCUCAUAAAAAUUGUUCAAGACAAGAUCAAGAUGCAUGAUGUGCUCCUAAAACUAGGGAAAAAAAUUGUCCUCCAAGAAAACGUUGACCCUAGAGAACGUAGCAGGUUGUGGGAGGCUGAUGAUAUCUAUCGUGUAUUAACAACUCAGGUAACGUUUCCAAGUGAUUUAAUUGGCUGUUUCUUGACUUUCUUGUUUAUAGCUAAGAGAUGUAGCCUUGAACAAGAAUAAAUAUCAAGGCCAGCUUCUUCUUUCUUCUUCUUUAUUUGUUAUAUAUAUACUGAUUUACAGUUUGCUUUAAUUUGUUAAAUAGGGGACUGGAUCAAAAGUGGAAAGCAUAUCCCUCAUCUUGGAUGCAACUAAAGAUCAAUUGACAUUAACUCCUACAGCAUUUGAAGGGAUGUAUAAUUUAAGAUUGCUCAAAAUCUACAACCCACCUUUCUUAAAGGAUCCCUCAAAGGAGCAAAUUAUGAAUGGAAAGAGGGUCGGAAUCCACCUUCCACGAGGGCUUCACUUUCUGUCAAGUGAGCUAAGGUUUCUCUAUUGGUAUAAUUACCCUUUGAAAUCCUUUCCAUCAAUUUUUUUCCCUGAGAAACUUGUUCAACUUGAAAUGCCUUGUAGCCAGCUUGAACAACUUUGGAAUGAAGGCCAGGUAUGCUUUAUCAUCCUUCUUUUUCGAAUAUAGGACAUUUUUGAAAUUAUUCAUAACGCUUAUCUUUUCUUACAUUGCCUCUUUUUUUAUUUACAGCCACUUGAGCAGUUGAAAUCUCUUAAAUCACUUAAUCUUCAUGGUUGCUCAAGACUAGCAAGUCUACCACAUAGUAUUGGCAUGUUGAAAUCUCUUGACCAGCUUGAUCUUAGUGGUUGCUCAAGUCUAACAAGUCUACCGAAAAACAUUGACGCGUUAAAAUCUCUAAAAUUGCUUAAUCUUAGUGGUUGCUCAAGACUAGCAAGUCUACCAAAUAGUAUUGGCGUGUUGAAAUCUCUUGACCAGCUUGAUCUUAGUGGUUGCUCAAGACUAGCAAGUCUACCAGACAGUAUUGGCGCAUUGAAAUCUCUUAAAUCACUUAAUCUUAGUGGUUUCUCAAGACUAGCAAGUCUACCAAAAAGCAUUGGCAUGUUGAAAUCUCUUGACCAAUUUGAUCUUAGUGAUUGCUCACGACUAGCAAGUCUACUAGAAAGCAUUGGCGCGUUCAAAUCUCUUAAAUCACUUAAUCUUAGUGGUUGCUCAAGACUAGCAAGUCUACCAAAUAGCAUUGGCAUGUUGAAAUCUCUUAAAUUGCUUAAACUUCAUGGUUGCUCAGGACUAGCAAGUUUACCAGACAACAUUGGCGAGUUGAAAUCUCUUACAUCGUUUAAUCUUAGUGGUUGCUCAGGACUAGCAAGUCUACCUGACAGCAUUGGGGUGUUGAAAUGUCUUGCUAAACUUCACCUUACUGGUUGCUCAGGACUCGCAAGUUUACCAGACAGCAUUGACAAAUUGAAAUGUCUUGAUACGCUUCAUCUUAGUGGUUGCUCAAGACUAGCAAUUCUACCCAACAACAUUGGCGCAUUGAAAUCUCUUUACCAGCUUCAUCUUAGUGGUUGCUCAAGACUAGAAAGUCUACCCGACAGCAUUGGAGGGUUGGAAUGUCUUGCUAAGCUUCACCUUACUGGUUGCUCAGGACUAACAAGUCUACCAGACAGCAUUGACAGGUUGAAAUGUCUUGAUACACUUCAUCUUAGUGGUUGCUCAGGACUAGCAAAUCUACCAAACAAUAUUAACAGUUUGAACUAUCUUAUUGUGCUUAAUCUUUGUGGUUUCUCAAGACUAGCAAGUCUACCAAACAACAUUGGCGAGUUGAAAUCUCUUAAAUUGCUUUAUCUUAGUGGUUGCUCAAGACUAGCAAGUCUACCAGAUAGAAUUGAUGAGUUGAAAUCUCUUAAAUCGCUUAAUCUUAAUGGUUGCUCACUAGCAAAGUCUACCAGACAGAAUUGGCGAGUUGAAAUCUCUUGAAUGGCUUAAUCUUCAUGAUUGCUCAGGACUAACAAGUCUACCAGAUAGAAUUGUCGAGUUGAAAUCUCUUAAAUCCCUUAAUCUUAAUGGAUGCUCAAGACUAGAAAGUCUACCAGACAACAUUGGCGAGUUGAGAUGUCUUACUAUGCUUAAUCUUAGUGGUUGCUUAAAACUAACAAGUCUACCCAAUAGCAUUGGUACGUUGAAAAGGCUUUAUGCGCUUCACCUUACUGGUUGCUCAGGACUAGAAAGUCUACCAGACAGCAUUGACGAGUUGAGAUGUCUUACUACGCUCGAUCUUAGUGGUUGCUUAAAACUAGCGAGUCUUCCAAACAACAUCAUUGAUCUUGAAUUUAAAGGACUUGACAAACAGCAUUGUUAUAUGUUGAGUGGAUUCCAGAAAGUAGAAGAAAUUGCAUCAUCCACCUAUAAAUUAGGCUGCCAUGAAUUUUUAAAUUUGGGAAAUUCUCGUGUGUUAAAAACUCCAGAGAGAUUAGGCUCUUUGGUGUGGCUAACAGAAUUAAGAUUAUCUGGGAUUGAUUUUGAGAGGAUACCUGCCAGCAUCAAGCACCUUACUAAGCUAAGUAAACUCUAUUUAGAUGAUUGCAAGCGGCUUCGAUGUUUACCAGAGCUUUCAUCGACUCUACAAGUUUUAAUCGCAUCAGGUUGUAUCUCUCUAAAAUCUGUAGCAAGUAUAUUCAUGCAAGGUGAUAGAGAAUAUGAUGCUGCUUCUCAGGAAUUCAAUUUCUCUGGAUGCCUCCAACUAGAUCAAAAUUCACGCACUAGAAUUAUGAGUGCUACCCGUUUACGAAUUCAACGCAUGGCAACAUCAUUGUUUUCUCAAGUGAAUUCUUCCUCCCUUGAUCUUGAUUUAUUUAAAAAAAAUCAUGAUAAUUUUUUAUAUGUAUCUCACAUUCUCACUCUCUUCGGUGCAGGAAUAUCAUGGUAAGCCCAUUAGAGUUCGGUUGUGUAUUCCUGGGUCGGAAGUCCCGGAGUGGUUUAGUUAUAAGAAUAGAGAAGGAUCGUCAGUAAAAAUCCGGCAACUAGCUCAUUGGUAUCGUCGUUUCACUUUAUGCGCUGUUGUUUCAUUUGGCCAAAGCGGGGAAAGGCGUCCCGUUAAUAUUAAAUGUGAAUGCCAUUUGAUAAGCAAAGAUGGAACCCAGAUUGAUCUCAGUUCCUACUUCUAUGAAAUAUAUGAAGAAAAGGUGAGGAGUUUAUGGGAAAGGGAGCAUGUGUUCAUUUGGAGUGUCCACUCUAAGUGCUUUUUCAAGGAGGCCUCGUUUCAAUUCAAAUCACCGUGGGGAGCUACUGAUGUGGUGGUUGGGUGUGGAGUCCAUCCAAUGUUGGUCAACGAGCCUGAGCAACCAAUCCCUAAAACUGAUGGAAAAUGCUUGACAAACUCUUAAUCAUCUUCUAUUUGAAAGGGCAACGUGAUGCUAUGGAUGCAUGGUUUCGCUCGUUGACACUGGUAACUCAUGAUCUUCUCCUUUCUUUUUCUAUACAAAUAUGAGGCAACUCAAUUGGAUUGAAUCAAACAUGAAACCAAAUACUCUUAUGAAUUAGAGAUGAAAAGGAUAUAUUUAUCCUCCUACUUUAACAUGAUUCUUAACCAGGUCCCCGAACAAACAAAAUAAUAAUUAUAAAAAAAAAUUAAAUUAAGUUUUGACUCGGGUUAUUUUUUGUUUUUUUAAUAGAUUUUUUCUCAACUUCAUCUUUCAACAUUGAGUUGAUUAAAAAUUUAAAUUUAUGUAUUUUUUAUUGGCUUUCUACUGGGUUAUUGUAGUCUCAAGACCCGGGUCACAAGUUUGCGGGUUAGCAAGGUUGGCUUGAGUUUUUUUUUUUUUUUUUAAUUGAAUUUUUUUUUUCAUUUUCAUCCUUCAACAUUGGGUUGAUUGAAAAUUUGACUUAAUAUUUUAUUUUAUUUUAUUCUAUAUAUUUAUCUUGGUCUCAUAAUCCGAGUUUGGCAAGUUAACUUAAGUUGACUCAAGAUGUUUUUUUAAUUGAUUCUUUUCAAUUGAAUCCUUUAACAUUUGGUUGAUUGAAAAUUGUGCUUUGAAAUUUUUUUUCUAUAGGAUUAUCAUGGUCUCAUGACCCGGGUCGAUGGUUAGCUCGAUUGCCUCAAGUUUUUUUGUGUUCUUUUUAAAUGCAUAUGUUUUUCAAUUUCAUCCAUUAAUAUUGGGUUAAUUGAGAAUUAGGCUUCAUAAUUUAUUUUAGUUUGCUUUCUAUGAAGAUAUCCCGAUAACAUGACUCGGGUCACAGGUUUCGUUUGUUAACUCGGUUUGUUUUUUCGUGUUUCUUGUUAAUUGUUUUUUUUAACAAUUUUAUUCUUCAACAUUAGGCUGAUUGUGAAUUCAGUUUCCUUAUUUUGAUCUGACGAGCAUUGUAGCACGGGAAAUUAUCUAGUAUUAACCAUAAAAUAAAAGAGGAGAGGUUUUUAUUGUACCUCUCCUCACAAAGCACUAUUCAUUGGACUAAUGAUUUGCUUUUUUUUUUCUUUGCUUUUUUUUUUCAAUCAAUGUUUUUUUUUUAGUUUUAUCCUUCAAUUUUAAAUUUAUUUUUUUAUAAAGUUAUCUCACUCUCAUAACAAAAAUCGCUAGUUUGAUACAUGUCAAAUCAUGUUGACCAGGGUAAAAAUGAGUUUCAAACCGUUUUGGGUCAAAACUAUCAUUUUCAAUCAAAUUAGGUUUAUUGAGAUAACUUUUACACAAUUUAAUUUUAAAUCAAAAUCAGACAAGAAGUUAGGUUUGAAGGUUUUUUUUUCUUAAUUUUAUUUUUUUUAAUUUUAUCCUUAUAUUUUUUUACAGGAUAACGGGGAUGCCUUUGAACUUUAAUUUUAAACUUAGGUUAGGUAAAAAGUCAGAUUAAGAAAAUUUUAAAUUGAAUCAUUAGGCUGAAUUUAAUAAAAAUAUCAAGUAGUUCUCAACGACUUGAAUACUUUUUAUUAUAUUAAAAAAUAAUUAUACAGCCUCCAGCAAACUAAUAAAUAAUAUUUAGAAGACUUCGGAGUAAUUUAUAAGUAAUUAAAGUAGAAAUAGAAAAACAAAACAAAAAAAAUCUAAAUGGGCUUCGAUCUGUUACCAAUCAGACCAUACCAGUACAUAACCCAAAACCAAAGGCCGAAUUCAUUCUAUCUAUCCAAGCCGAAGGCCCAACUCUACCAUUUCAAAUUAAAACGCUCCGUCCCUCCCAAUCCCAAACCUAAACAAACAACAUCAUAUAGCCGUUAGAAACCAACAGCUCCCAUUUCAAGCUUCAAAUUCCCAAUUUUAAACCCUAAAAAUCUUUCACCUUUCUAAUUUUCUCCCUCUCUCAAUUUCAAGCCCUAAAACAUGAACGGUACUCCCAUCUAUUUCUCUGUAUCGAUCGAUACGCAUAAAUUGAAUUAUUUUAUUUUAUUUUUAUGGUUCUUGUUUUAUAGAUCGAAAUUGUUUGAUUUCUCUCAGAUCUGACAGUCCAAAUGAUUGAAGAGAUAUGCGAUCGUUCAAGACCGUUCAAAUUUCCGAUUCCAGCCCUUCUCUCUCUUCGACCACAGGUUAGAAGAAGUAGCUUCACUUUGUUUAAUUAAUAUUUCUCUGAAAUUGAUUUUUUAAAAAAAUUUCAGUUGAAUCUGUAGAAGAUAAGAAAUUCGAUACAGGUUCUUGUUUUUAUAAAAAUAUAUAUAUUAGAAAUUAUUUGUUUAAGUACUGAUUAUCAGUUUAUUUUUUUAUAUUUUUUGCUUCUGCUUAGACUUAGAAAUUGUAAUUUUGAAUUAUUUAAUUUUAUUUGUUAUUGAAUUUAAUUGUUUAUUUAUCUUUUUAAUUCUAGGGUUUCUAAAAUUUUUAAAGUCGUUUUUAAUCAAGAGAAAAAAAGAGAGUUAAAUUGAGUCAAAUUCGGUGCUGUAGAACUGUAGACAUUUGUAUUUUAUAUUGAAAUUGUUUUGACUGAAAAAGGUUAUUUUGAUUUUAAUGAGUUUUCAGGAGAAACUAUUAAUUCGGAGGAGGAGAGCGUAUCAAAUAGAAUUCGACAAGUUUACCCAUCUCAGGGGCCAACACCGCCCAUUUUGCAGAAAAUUAUCAAUUUAAGUGAUAAAAUUCAGGUACUUAUUUUGAACUUUGGUGUUGUUGGGUAUCGUAUAGAUGACUUGAAAAGACUUGGUUUUAGUUGUAGAAUUCAGGCAAUUUUAAAUUUCAUUGUUUUAGCUAGUAAAUUAGGAUUUUGCAUUAUUAUGUUGAUGGGGGUAUUGAUUUGUUUUCUUUCUUUGAAUUUAAUUGUUGUUGUUUCAGAAUUUGAAGAAAGAACACUCAAAUCUCUCUAAUCAAGUAAAGACUGCCAAGGAUUCCUUUCUUGGCCCCAAUAUUUUAGACACCCUUCAAAAACUCGGUGAGUAUCCAAUAGUGAAACUAAUUUAUUUCUUCUUUUCAUUUUUUAUUUUUUUUUGAGGGGUUUGGUUUGAUAGUUUACUAGUUGAAAUAUUGGUCAGGUAAUGAAUAUGAACUUCUUAAAAAGAAGUAUCUACAAGAGUUGUCUGAGAGGAAGAGGCUUUACAAUGAGGUGAUCGAGCUUAAAGGGAAUAUUAGGGUCUUCUGUAGAUGCAGACCACUAAAUCAAGUCGAAAUAACAAAUGGUUCGAACUAUGUAGUUGAAUUUGACUCUUCCCAAGAUAAUGAGUUGCAGAUCAUUUCCUCUGAUUCUUCCAAAAAGCAAUUUAAGUUCGACCAUGUUUUUGGGCCUGAGGAUAAUCAAGGUGAUCUGAUGUUUUAUUUUAUGUAUUGCUACUGCAGCCAUCCUGUUAAAGAUUAUUUGUGCAAUUGAAGCAUCUAAUCCUUUGUCUCUAUGAUAUGCAGAGGCUGUUUUUGCACAAACUAAACCAAUAGUCGCUUCAGUUUUGGAUGGCUACAAUGUCUGCAUAUUCGCCUAUGGACAAACUGGAACUGGAAAGACGUUUACUAUUGAGGGCAGCCCAGAAAAUAGGGGAGUGAACUACAGAACAUUAGAUGAGUUGUUCCGAGUUUCUCAAGAGAGAAGUGGCAUUAUGAGAUAUGGUCUUUUUGUUAGUAUGAUGGAGGUUUACAAUGAGAAGAUAAGGGACCUCUUGAUUGAUAGUUCCAACCAACCGCCUAAAAAGUUAGUUUCCUCUUUUAUUGCUACUGUAUUGAUCUGAUAAUCAAAAUAUAGUCAUUUAUGUUGAAUUUUUUGGUUGCGAAAAUUUUAUAUUAAUAAUUUUCUGUAGCUCUGAUUUAUAUCAUUUUGCUACUAGAUGAUAAUUAACUAUUGGUUAGUACAAACAUCAUGCGUGUGGCUAUUUGACAAGAAAAGUGGAACAUGGAAGUUCUGUAUUAGCCCAAUUUUCAUUUGAGCACUCUAUCUGCAAAUGAUAAUAAAUUCCUUGCUCCUCUCUAGUGUAGAUAAGCAUGACAUCUAAUUGGGUUUAGGGUUUAAAAGAUUAUGUACAAGACUCCUAUUUGGAAGCCCAUUGGUAUGAAAGAUUUAAAGUCUAACGAUAAGAAAUUGAGUUACAUGAAUGAAGUUUGAUGAAAUUUUAGUUUUUCUUACAUGCAUAAAGGUUGGAGAUAAAACAAACAGCUGAAGGAACACAAGAAGUCCCAGGACUUGUUGAAACUCGGGUGACUGUCACAGAGGAUGUGUGGGAUUUACUCAAGUCUGGAAGUCGGGCCAGGUCUGUUGGAUCAACCAGCGCUAAUGAGCUUAGCAGCCGUUCUCAUUGGUAAAAAUGAACUCUGCUUUCUUUUCUUGGUUUAUUCUUUCUAAGAAUAUACUUUAUGGAUCACAUAUAAUAGCAAAUUAACUAGUUUUUUGUAUCUGUGAAUUAACUAUUCAAGAAAUAUACUGAUUAAUUGAAGUGGUAGUACUAAUGACCACAACAUUGUUGGUCCGUAAUUUGUUGCGAGUAACAGUGAAAGGAGAGAAUUUAAUAGAUGGACAAAAGACAAGAAGUCACCUAUGGAUGGUCGAUUUGGCUGGUAGUGAACGUGUGGGAAAGAUUGAUGUUGAAGGUAAAAGAUUGAAGGAAUCGCAAUUCAUUAAUAAAUCUCUUUCAGCACUUGGUGAUGUUAUAUCUGCCCUCGCAUCUAAAACUGGCCACAUUCCUUACAGGUCUUUCUCUCACACAGUCACUCUUGUAAAAUGCUAUCCAAUUACCAUAUUAAUGAAGAUAUCUGUUUUCUUCCGAUCAGGAACUCAAAGCUAACCCAUAUGCUACAGAGCUCUCUCGGUGAGUAUUAAGUUUACUAUUUUUUAUGGUUGCUAGUCACUCUUAUUGUCUUGUUUGUCAGUAAAUGACGCUAAGUGAAACAUGAAUGCAGGAGGAGAUUGUAAGACCUUGAUGUUUGUCCAAAUAAGUCCAAGUGCUACUGACCUUGGAGAGACGCUUUGUUCACUAAAUUUUGCGAGUCGAGUGCGAGGAAUUGAAAGUGGUCCUGCCCGCAAACAGGCUGAUCUCACUGAACUUUUCAAAUACAAGCAAAUGGUAUACAUAUACUGCUAGUAUUUGAUGAAAUUUCUUUUGUCUCAGUUUCUUUUAUCUUGAUUCACAUUUUCUUUCCUUCUUUCUUUCCUUUUUUAAUUACAAAUAAUCAGGUAGAAAAGUUAAAGCAUGAUGAGAAGGAAACAAAGAAGUUGCAGGAUAGCUUUCAAUCAUUGCAAUUGAGGCUUGCUGCUAGAGAACAUAUCUGCAGAACUCUCCAAGAAAAGGUAAUUAUGAUGGCUUGAGCUCCAUUUAAUGCUUUUUUAUUUAUUUAUUAUUACUAUGAAACAUGUGGAAAAUUUAUUGGAGCUGUUUUUUCGUUUUUCUUUUGCUUUUAUUGUCCCUUAAAUGGCAUUUUUAAGUCAUUUUGUAGACUAACAAAUAACUUUUCUUACAAUAGGUUCGAGAGCUUGAGAAUCAGUUAGGUGAGGAAAGAAAAACUAGACUAAAGCAGGAAACACGAGCCUUCGCCGCUGAUGCUUCUCAGUCUACGAAACAAGUAGUAGAGAACAGAAAAGUAGAUAAGAAGCCACCUCUGUGUCCUUCAAAGUUGAGGAUGCCGUUGCGAAAAAUCACCAAUUUCAUGCCUCCGCCACCUCUACAAAAACAGAAAACUGGUUCUGUUUUAUCUUCAAUACAUGACAAAGAAAACAAUCCAAGAACCACAAAUGCAGGAGCAAAUACAAAAAGCCUUAUGAAACCCAGACGUAUGUCUGCUGCAGUCAGACCUCCUCCUCCAAUGUCAGCACAGGUUUUUCAGCCUAAGAGACGGGUAUCCAUUGCUACCUAUCGUUCAGAGCCAACCUCAAACAUGACUACACCACUUCAAACCUCGCGAUAUAAAAAUGGGAAUGUAGUUGGCAGGCAGUCAUUUGUCAGGGACACAAGAAAGCCAAGGAAUUCAAAGCUGUUCUCUCCAUUGCCAGAGUUCAGGACUGC
This 46415-nucleotide long non-coding RNA is filed under the name Populus tremula. Its description in RNAcentral is "long non-coding RNA (PTRE_LNC002428)". Lineage: Eukaryota; Viridiplantae; Streptophyta; Magnoliopsida; Malpighiales; Salicaceae. The record is from RNAcentral.